GUUCAUGCAAGGUCCUUCUUGUGUCCAGCCCAAAUUAGAUCAAGGCAUGAAAUAGUUGCCCCAGCUAGUGUUUAAUAUUAGUUUGGAUUGUGUCUAAUUAUCCGAACCUUGCCUGUUAUCGACCCCUCUGGGGCUAGUACUCUGUUUGAAUCCGUCUAUGGGAACUGCUGCUACUUUUGUGUGCCCGUGAAUCAUGUGAGAACCAUCAUAAUUGUUGCCAAAACAGAUGUGUCCUCACUAGUUUUUUCAUGAAUAUGGCAUGGUAAGACAUAAGUUGUCAUGGUUUAUCAUACGAGUAGUCUGUGUUUUGAUGAAAUAGAGCACUCGUUCGAGAACCGUGCGCCAACGUAUACAUAAGUACUUGUAAACACUGUUGGUGCUACCCCACUUGUAAGCAGUUGUGCAAAACACGGCACAUUGGCUCAGCUCGCUUCAACACUAGGCUAUCGACCAGCUAACAAUCAACAAUCUGCUGUCUGACAUAUAAUCAACUAUGUAUCUUGUUACAGUGGUUCAUGCAGUUAAUUGAGGCCACAAUGUAAUAAAUUCCAAACGUUCACACGCUAGUCCAGCGCUCAUGUGGAACACUCACAUUAAACUCGUCUUCAUAAAAAACUUGAAAAGCAUAAGUUAAACAAUUUUAUACAUCUCAAUGAUUCAUAGAACAUAACAAACAUAUACUAGUUCACAGCAAAAGACAAAGUUGUGAGAAGGUUUACAAAUCAGGAAAAAACAAGCAAGGCUUCUCUGAGCAAAGGGCCUCCCGGCAGGCUUAAAUUUCCUGGAGUUCACUGUGGUUUUUUCUUGUUGCCACCAUUCAGGGUUAGGUUCUCUCAUUCCAGAAUAACCAAUUAUAAUUGUGGUCUCAGCUGGAAUGCUGAACUGAACCAUGCAAUGUACUGACCAGCUGAAAUGCUUGUGCAUUCCACUAAAUUUAAGCACCGCUAUUUGCAGAAAUAAGCAGACCACAAUGCCUCUUGUCCGCGCACCUGUCCAAAAAACCGCCAUGCAGCCGUGCCAGCUAGUCCUCGGUCCAUGGAUGAACUGGUAGAAAGUGCAUUCUGGGCUAGGAUGCAGUUGUUUUCGCUCGUCCCUGCACUGCAAUCAGGAAGUAAAACGUACGAAUCAGCUUCUUUUAGAUUGCGUUGGUCAUUCUACCUUAGUUACUAGUACCAAUGUAGGGAUACCUUGAAGACGGGAGGUUAGACGACGGCAACGAGGGAUAGCCAUCUCAUUUUGCGCAGUUGUACUAAAACUGAGGUGUGUGCUUUUGAUUACGCGGAUAGAAAUGAUACGGAGACAGACAUCCCUGUUUGCGCAAAUACGAAAUACGGUUAAUUAAACAGUGACAUAUAUUACUACUUUCCCCCGUUUCCUCUUAGAACCAAGUCCUAGAUUCAUGCUACAGCUUUCCCACUUUCUUCCCUGUUUGAACCAACGCUUUGAGUCGACUGUAUGAACUAGCUUUACUUCUAAUAAUAGUAGAAGUCUAGGUGGCUUUGGAACAGCGGACGGAAGUAGAAAAGGAUCCACCCGAAGGGAGCUGGGGCAGUAGAGCAAGGCAGGUUUCGAAGGAAUAUAUACCUGAGGGUCGUCGGCAUGUGGCAAAGAUGGCGUCGGGAGGCCGCAUCUUGGCCACAAUACCGCAGGGAGGAAGAAGGGGUCAGAGGCCCUCCCGAGCCGGCGCUCUCUCGGAGAGAACGACACGGCCGCCGAUCGAGACGCGCGGGCAGCCGUUGGUCUCCUCCCUCGCCGCCGACGACAGCGUGAACGAUGCACCUACACCCCUGCCCCGGUCGAGGUUGUCCGACCGGAUUUGUGACCAGCCGUGAGCUGAGAGAGAGUGUGGCCGCCUAUGUGUUUACGAGAGGAACCCUAGUAAAGCAAGCGCUAAGGCUCCUACUUUUAUAUAUAGUGGAGUGAUUUUCUUGUACCAGCUUCAAAAAAAUGCGCUCCUACGUGUACCCGCGAGUGGGUGUGAGAGAACUAGUGCGUGCGUGCACCGCUUCUCUUCGUGAGAGUACAAUAUACUAUGCCUAAAGAACGUUCGCCGCAAGAGUAAUAGUAUAAGUGUGUGACGUGUGAGCUAAAAUAAAAUGUGCGCCGUCUUUUGUUUUUUAGAAGUUCUGAGGGUAGGGUGUGAAGAGCACAUAUGUGCGUGAUGUCUACCUGCAGAUAGACGGUGGGUGCGACGUGCGAGUCUACGAGAGGACUCAGGAGAGUCGUGACUCGUGAGGGUGCGUGUGCGUGAGAGAGAGGGGGGCACGUAUCAAUGCAAUGCAUGUGUCCGUAAAUCAUUAUCCGACAAACGUUCGCCACAAGCCUUUUCCUGACGAACGCCGUAAGAACUGUUAGAUCGGCAUCCGACAGUGUCAGUUUUGCCAUGCAUUUAACAGAACAGCCACUCCUCCUACACACAAAUCUUCCAUGUGAGUGUUAGCAACUGCCGUAUGCUCCCUCCGUUCCGAAAUGCAGUGCAUAUAGCUUUAUUGAAAAUUCGAACCUCGCAAACAUUUACCGAGUUUUCGUGUACGAAAUUGCACAUGUAGAAUACCAUGUAUAUAUCAUUUCAUUCAUCUUCGAGAGGUAACUAUAAAGAUUGGUGAGGAGUCUACAAAGAAAGACCAUCGUAUCACCCGCAACAAUUUCAAGCAUCCUUUAGUGUCGAGGAAUAUCAUAGGAACUCUAUAUGAUAUGAUUUUUAUAGGGUUUUUUCCUUUAGAGCCAAUUGGUUCAUAGGAAUAGAUUCAUAUACUCCACAUUUCAAAGGAAAUAAACAUGAUAUCAUUUCUAUAGCUUUAGAGCCACUUGGUUCAUAUGAAUGGAUUCCUAUACUCCCUUAAUUUCAAAGGAAAAUAAACAUUAGCUUAUAUUCAAUAGAAAAGUUCCUAUGAUAUGAACCAAAUUACAUCUCUUUUCUAAUCCCUCCUCAUAGGAAUUGAGAUACAUGUCAUCUCUAGAUUCAAUAGAAAAGUUCCUAUGAUGUGAACCAAAUGACAUCUCUUUUCCAAUCCCUACUCAAAGGAAUUGAGAUGCUCCAUGUCAUCUCUUUCCCUACAACUUCCAUGUAUACAUCUUCUAUUCCUAAAUAGAUAGUACAACCCACUAGUAGCUUUUUUCCAAAACAUGCAACUAUGGCACAAGAACUAUAUAGUGUGCCAAUAACUUUGAAAGAUGGUCGCUGGAUGAAGCUAACCCGACAGUGCAGAGAUAGGAAAAUCCGAGCACUACUGGCCGUUGGAUAUCAUCAACAUUCCACCAGAUCUGCCACAUGUACAAUUUAGAAGACUCCAUGGUUGAACUUAAGCAUAAUGCACAAACCUCAAAACAUAAGCACUUCUCCUUUGUUCUAGAAUCUUCUGUAUCAUAAUUGAUUAUUAUUUUUAAAUGAAUUGCCAUUAUUUGUUUUUUACUUUAUGAUUUACAAUGCACAACCCCAUGAAUCUUAACAUUUUUAUAAAACUAAUUGAUUUUGAAUGAGAUGAACUAUAAGAACUAAACGAACAUCUACAUCAUGCAUAUAUGACUCAAAGCUUUACAUGCUAUAGUGUGUAUUUAUUCGUAAUUUGGUUUCGAAAUCUCAUGCGUUCAAUACAUGUGUACCUUACUAGUUUUGAGUAGAGUAGCAAAUUUCACGCGGCCCCGGGUAUAUCAAAAUGCAGGGCCCAUGCAUCAUUGCCUUUCGGUCGAACCUACGUCCACAAUUUUUUGUACGUACUAUAUCUCCACUGGUCCCCGAACCCAAAAUGUUGCCUCGUUCCCAUAAAACCAAGCGGCCCACACAUAUUUAAGGCGUCAACUCGAACCCGUUUACUACGACGUGACCCCGCAUGCCGUAGUACUCCUACAAACCCUACCGCCGCAUUCAUCAUCGGUUUUCUUCAAGAGGACGAGAGAGAAGCCGAUUUGUAGUGGAGGCGCUUUAAAAAAAGGAUCUGUAGUGGAGAUCCCUACCCUAGGGUGCCCUAGGUAGCUGCCGCACGCAUCAUUGUUUUCUCUUUUCUUUAUGCUCUUGCGCCCUAGAGUGAAAUGAUGGUUGCUUCGUCCGUCCAGCUUAAUGCGGGAAAGGUGGGGCUUUGUGAUUUGACCCCUCAUCGCUCAUUUUCUACUACUGCGGUGCUACGACCGGGGUGCCUCCAAUUCCAACCGCUGCUCUGAACUGUAAUUUGGUGCAUCGCACGUGGAACAAAACGGUGGAUGAGCGACAUGUCGGCCAAAGGGGUCCUGUUAAGUGUGUCGCCAUUUCAUGUGCGGACUGACCCUGCUUGAGUUGCUACGCCAACACGACAGGAGCAGCCUACCACUUGGUUUUGCUCCUUGGUGAAUCCCGACUAUAUUGAUCUAAAUAGAUACGUGCUGAACUACCCUCUCCGUCUCGGUUUUUUUAUUUUUAGGCGUCUUGGUUUAUAGGGCCUGCACGUAGUUCUAGGUCAUCCAUUUGACUAACUAAAUAUGAGUUACUAUGUCACAAAAAGUAUAUCAUUGGAUUCUUAAGCGGAUGUAGUUGUAUUUAAAAGUCGAGGGCGGGGCUUUUCCUGCGCGGUAGGCAGGGCAGUUCCGCCUAGUCGGUUCGACAGAGACGCGAGAAGACGAGGGAGUAGGCUGCUGCAAACGUAGGGCUGUGUGAUUUGACAGCGAGUUACUGCUGGACAGGUGGGGCCUCGUGAUUUGACUUGUCAUUAUCAUUUUAACUGCGGCGCUACGACCGGCGUGAGUCUCCCGAUUCCUGACCACCUCCAUACAGGUGCCUCUCCCAAUGCUCCAGCAUGUAGUAGAGGCUGGCUCUUGCAUGAGAGCCCACUUCUCCACUUUUUCCUUGCCUCUCUUUCCUCCACAUAUGCAAAAAUGCCAUGUAAAGCGCACUAUUGUACUUACUUUUAUUUGCUCCUACAGGUGCUUAAGGUUGCCACAUAGGCAUAAAGUCUGAUGUGGCAAGUUAAUCAAGAAGAGAGAGACUAGUUUGGUGACCCAAGGAAGAAACGGUGCUAAGCGCGUGUACCUAGGUGAAAAGACAAUUUUGAGUCUAUAGCUAAUUAAAUGAAGCAAACUUAGCAACACCAUUUCAUUGGAAGAGGUCACUCCUUGGCAAAUGCAAUAAAUACUAGUACUCCAUGUGUCCCAUAAUAUAAGAACGUUUUUGGCACUACACUAGUGUCAAAAACGUUCUUAUAUUAUGGGACGGAGGGAGUACGAAGAAAGAGAUAGAGAGGAGUAGAAAAAUUUACACUUAUAGCCAACCUUAUAGCCAACCUUGUUGUAGUAUGAGUGACUAAGUGAUGACUAUGUAUGACAUGCCAACAUCAGAUAGCCUAACGCACCAUGUUAAAUCUCCAAGGGCGCGACCGCGCGAGCGACGCGACGGUCGUGGUAGGCGCGACCAUGAUACAGGCUGCUGGCAGCCCUUGGAUCUGAGAUCAAACGGUCCCAUGCUAAGUUGCUGAAAAUUUGCAGAAUAACCCUCCAGAAUAGGAUAUUCACCCAUAGGUCUAGAAUCACGCCAUGCAACCAUUCGAUCUCAGAUCCAAGGGCUCUCGGAAGCCCGUAUCAUGGGAGAAUGGAAAGCCACUACCCUGCCGUUCGCACGCUGGCAGUUCGCUCCUACUCGUCCCCGCACGUCCUUCAAUACUACGGCGCUUCGCUCCUAGUCGUCCCGUCCAUUCACAUUAUGGCAGUUCCACUAAUCCUAACCCUCCUCCCAAAUCCAUGGCGUCCCAAAUCUCCACGAUCGGCGGUGAGUACAAGGUUAGGACCAUCACCGGCGAUGAGUUCGACGUCAUCUACACCCAUUCUUCCGCGACGGUGAAAGGAUGCCUUUCUUGCUUCAGACGCAUGUUCGAAAACUCAGAUGAUGAGUGGGUCGCUGGGCUAGAUGUUGAGUACACCACAGUCCUGGGACGAAAGAAGGAUCUAAAGGACGAAGAGAGGAAGAAGCCCGCCGUGAUCCAGGUUUGCGUACAUAACGUUUGCUUGGUCUACCACAUAUGCCAUGCCGACGUUGAGUGCCAGGAUUUUAAGAACUUCCUCAAGGAAAAAGUAGUGAAAUUCGUUACUGUAGACUUUAAGAACGACAAAGAAGUCCUGGGUCGGAUAGGCCUCGUUGUAGGCAACCCCGUCGACCUCCAGAAGAAUCGGCUGGUGCCCUCUCGUCAGCCUUCAAUGCUGACCCUGGCAGGAGCCAUGGUUCAUCCUUCAUACCGUAAACUGGAGAAACCUCAUUACACGUUUCAUCGUCAUGCAUGGCAGCGGAAUGUACUAGAUAUAGACCACAUCCACUACGAUGCAAUGGAUGGCUACCUUUGUUUCAAUAUCUACAAGGGUUGGAUGAAGAGCAACAGCCAAGUGUGCGGUUCAAGCAAAGAAGUAUCGGCCAAGAGGAAGAGGGACAAGGACGAAGUCGAGGACGUGGACGAGGACUCCGAGUAAGGUGGCAGUGUCAUUGCUCAUGGUGGUUCUAAACUUCUAAUGCAGUGUCUACCGGAUUAGUUGCAUAGUUUAAUUUCAGGUGUGCUUAGUUUAAUUUGAGGGGUGUGUUGUGCUGAGCCCCCAGCAGAACUAUGUUAUGUUUCUUCUCAUUACUUUAACUCUUCAGUAUGUACAUACUACUAGUAUUUCUUUAAUAGAAUUUAGCACCCCAAUUAAGCACGUACUAGCUUUUUUAAUAGUACUAUUCAUAAUUUGGCGACGAGCGCUCUCUAUAUGUACCACCUUUUUUUUAAUUUCAAUUUUUGCUCCAUGGCACAAUCCAUCGAUAGUACUACUGUACAAAAGUAUACAUUUUUUAAAAGGCUAGAGUACUGUUCAUCACAUAUAUAGCCAUUUAAAUUCUCAACCUAGAACGACGUGCAUGCCAUGUAGUAAACCGAUACGGAGGAAGUAUAGUAAAAAUGAGGUGAUUUUACCGAGCAAUCGGCGGGGGAGCAUGGCCUGUCAUGCGGUCCCACGUGUCAUGAUGUACCAAGGCAAUGCGUGUGUCCCUCUUGAGGCAGAAGCAAUACUACGUGGUUUGAGAUGAUGAUGAACCGAAGUGUGAAAUAAUGGUUGCUUCGACCGUCUGGGAAGGUGCGGCAUUGUGAUUUGACGUCUCAUUGCUCAUUACUACUACUGGGCCGGUACGAGUGGGGUGCGUCCCCCCUGCUGUUCUACACUAUUAUUUGGUGCUUGACACGUCGACCCGGUUGCUAUAUGUCCCACAUGUCGGCGACAGGAAGUACAUAAUUCAUGAAAGGGAGCGUCGACGGAGGAGUAUACUACAGAAUUCAUGAAAGGGAGCGACUUAGUUUUGGAAAACUCUGUUUUUACGAAGUACAUACCCACUAGGGUUUAUAGGGCUCAUCUAAAAAACAUUCGUUUUUCCGUUUGAUAAGUCUCAAUUCUACUAUACUAGUAGUACCAUUACAUGUUGGAUUUUGAGGUGCGUUAGAUCACCCGACGCAAGCAGUGUCAAGAGGAAACUAACCAAUGCAUGUACAAGUUCAUGGAAAUUUAGUGGUCAUUCAUGCAUUCGUUCUAAUUAAUGCCUCGGUAAACAUAACUUCUUGAGAAAAACGAGCGUACUAAUUACUUCUGCAAACUAUGAAAUUAAUUCGACCACUCACCGUCUACCUUGGUUGGAGAGAUUUUGAAAUUGAGCCGUAAACUGGAAAGGAAGGAGUAGUAACUUUUGUCUCGAUUACUAUUUGUGGCCUUGUAUAGAUGCAAAAUGUAUUUUUUUAUAGUGGCCUUGUAUAAGUAAAUGGAGGGAGUACUAACCAAAGUACGUAGUAGGGACGAGGAGUAAACGGAGGGAGUAGUAAAAUUUUCUCCUCGUGCUGCGAGCCACCGCGCGCGUGGGCGAGGGAGCGGGCGUAAAGGCGUACAGUAGUAGUACUACUACUACUACUACUACUACUACUACUACUCGUAAGCAAGCUUCACCUCAUCCUGCGAGCCACCGCGCCCGUGGGCGGGGGAGGCGGCGUACUAAGCAAGCUUCUCCUCGUUCUGCGAGUUGACGGGGCACAUCAAAAGUACUCCAGUGUAUAGAGCCUUGCCUCUAAGGUAGGCCCCACAUGGUUUACCUCUUUUUUUAAUUUAACAUAACGCGUCAAGUCGCAAUUUGUUUGCUCACCCGUGGUAGACGAUCCUCCCUCCACCAAGUGGACAACCAGUACACGUGCCAAAUUACCACGUGGGCUGCCUUUUUCGUACAGAAAUGAGCUCCACCGUGUACCCGCGCGGGUGUGGUUGGGAAAGAGACGGGAGUACGUGCGCCGUGCGUGCACCUCUUCUCUUCGUGCACGUCCCCCACCUACGUGGGUGUGUGUGAGAGAGAUACAAACCUAGACAUAAUGCGCCGUCCAUCCCCAUGCCUCCGCCUAGUCCAACCACCAGUCACCACCACGCCCCACUCCUCCUCACCUUAUCUCUCAUCUUUCUCCCUCCAUUUUUAUAUACAAGGGGCCACUAUCAAAAUUACAAUUUGCAGAUAUACAAGGCCACUAACACUAAUCGAUGCAAUAUUAAUGGUGUUUGCCUCGUGGUACUAGCAAAGGAGGACAUUAAUUAUCCCUUGCAUGCAUGCGGGAGUUUGUAAAAAAAUGCAUCUUGAUGUUCCGUGCAAUGCACGGGCAUCUUGCUAGUCCAUGAAAACAACACAUGGCAAAAUUCCACGGCGAACGAGGGAUUUGAAUCUGUUGGGAGGGGCUGUUUGGAUCUUGCCCGGGGUAGCCAAAAUAUUGGCGACCCUUUUGUCCACCGGUGCCUUUGCCACCGAUGAACGAGGAAUGGCUCGGGUGCUCAUGCUGUCAUGCAUCCUCCGCGCGCACGUUGGAGACGAGCUCGCACGAGCUGUGUUUUUUUGUCCCGCAACGCCGCCCGAGCCGCCCGCAGACCGACCGGCGACCCGCAAAUUACGCCAUCCAACCGUAGCCGCACACAUUAUGACAGCAACUCAACCAACCGGACGAAAUUCACGCAAACACGUAGACAAACUGAUAUUUUAUAUAAACAACGACGGAAAUCAUAUAAAAUACCGGAUUUUCAUACAAACAUGACGGAUUUCAUUACAUUCAAAUGAACUACGCGGUGCUAGUUCUGGACAGCACAUGUAUAUAAUACCUGGCCUAAAUGGUCGCCCGCCGAUCGAUUUGUGUUCCUCAUGUCCGGCAGCACGAUCACCGGGCUGCCGGGAGCCCCGGAGGUAUAUGCUUCGGCGCAAAGGACGGCUCGCUUGCCCACUGCCCAACUGAUAUCAUUGGCUGGUGCCGAAGAUGAUGGUGGCCGGCAGCGGUUCGAGUUCAUCACCGGCCACUACUUCGCCAUGGUCGGCACCGGCUCGAGUUCAUCCUAACAUUCCCCUCUUCCGUGGAGCCCAUGCGGGGUCGACAAAGGUCCUCGCAACAAAAGGAUCCGGCAAGACACCUACUGUGUACGCCGGCGUCGCCUCCGCGGUGGCCUUCAUGGGACCCAAGCGGCGGCGGCCUCCCGUGUUCUACUUCUCCUCAAUGAUGGCAGCGGACGCGGAGGCGCUGGCCACCGACUCGUCGCUCUCCGCACACCCGGCUUCUGUCGCUGCUUGCAUGGCGCGGCCGCCGGCAUGGGAGUCUCGGCCACAGAAACGGGAGACGCGGUACGAGGCGGCGGCGUGGACGGCAGCAACGACUCCUGUGCGCCGCUCCUCGUCGAGCUGGCCUGGAGCGGCGAGUUGCUGAACCGCGCGCCGGCUUGGGGCGGCAACUGGCUCCGUCGGGCGAGGGGAGGGAGGUGGAUUAGCGAGCUGCAUAGCUCAUAUCCGGCGGGCUACCCAGCCGGCUUGGAUGCGGAAUAACUACUCUUCGUAAGCCAUUGUAAGAGUGAACAAAAUGGUGGAGGAGAUAGGGGAGCGGCGGAGGUGUGCGAUACUUGGCCGGUGUUUGGCCUCGUUUAAAUAGGAGAUUAAAUAGAUGGCGGACGGGAGGAGCUCGGCCGGCGUUGCGUUUAAUGCCGGCCCGGUCAUGAACGGACGUGUGUCCAGAGUGGGUUUCUCGGCUUCCACACGGGUGGGUUUCAUGGAGGCGUUUGAAUGCGGCACGGAGGCGUGUUCAGCCGGGAAUGCCGCGAGUGGCGCCCUCGACUCUGACCUAGGACACCGCGUCGUUCUUCCACUGACGUGUGGGCUCUUUGGGUGCAUGGCCUGCAUGUCAGUGACCCAACGCAGGCAGCGCACAGCAGAGGAACCUUUGGUGGGCCAAGGCGGUCAGAAGCGGGCAUUUCAUAAACCGAUGAUUGUUCAUUGAGUGUGACGUCAUCUUUUUCAUGUAGAUAAGCCUACUAUGUUGAUAGCCCGUUCGAUACGUUGUGAUUCAUAAAGACCGCUGCAAACAUCAAUGUUCUGCUUAUCACAGAUAAGAUUGAUUAAUACCCGUAACAAUCCAUGUCCUUAACAAAGGGUGCAUGCAUGUAUAGGUUGAGCGUGUGUCUUGCGUCGUGUGCUGUGUGCAUGCAGGCGUGCGAGUGUUGCGUGCGUGCAAGGGUACGUUUCAGUGUUGCAUGCAUGGGUGCGUACGUGCGUGUGUUCAUGAGUGCAUGUGUACGUGUCAGUGUUGCACGCCAGCAUGCGUGCGUGUGUACGUGUCAGUGUUGCACGCCUACAUGCGUGCGUGUCUUGUGUGCAUGCAUGUGUACGUGCAGGGUGAGGCUACACGUCAGUCGACUGACUUUUUCAUCUCUGGUCAUUAGAUUUUCCAACCGUUGGAUACGAAAUCAAGGGCCUCCAGUUUAUCAUCAAACUCCACCCCCCCCUGAGCCGCCAGCCACCACCGGCCGAACCGCUAGCCCCCGCCGCCCGCGGCCGGCCCGCCCUCCCCGAAACCACUCCCCNNNNNNNNNNNNNNNNNNNNNNNNNNNNNNNNNNNNNNNNNNNNNNNNNNNNNNNNNNNNNNNNNNNNNNNNNNNNNNNNNNNNNNNNNNNNNNNNNNNNNNNNNNNNNNNNNNNNNNNNNNNNNNNNNNNNNNNNNNNNNNNNNNNNNNNNNNNNNNNNNNNNNNNNNNNNNNNNNNNNNNNNNNNNNNNNNNNNNNNNNNNNNNNNNNNNNNNNNNNNNNNNNNNNNNNNNNNNNNNNNNNNNNNNNNNNNNNNNNNNNNNNNNNNNNNNNNNNNNNNNNNNNNNNNNNNNNNNNNNNNNNNNNNNNNNNNNNNNNNNNNNNNNNNNNNNNNNNNNNNNNNNNNNNNNNNNNNNNNNNNNNNNNNNNNNNNNNNNNNNNNNNNNNNNNNNNNNNNNNNNNNNNNNNNNNNNNNNNNNNNNCGAGCUUUUUCUCCAGGGAUCCCCACCCCACCGCCCAAUGAACGUCCCCCAACCGCCGGUGACUGCCAACCAGAGGUCUCACGACUUUGAAUACCCAUCGACCACUAAUUUAUUACCACUUCUAUCCUUCAUAUACGCGCUGACGGGUGGGCCCUAUGGUAAUGUGCGCUGCUGAAUGUGGACCGUUUGACUGGUCAAUUGAUCGUGUUAUCAACAAAUUACGGAGCUGUAUGGUGAGCCAGUGACCGUAUGAUCACCCUAAAAUGUACUCCUAUUUUAUUAACACAGUACAGACUCAAACUACCAUUUCUUUCUUUCAUAUACGGGCUGACAGGUGGGCCCCACGGUUACGCGCCCCGAUGGUGCAACACUAGUUGCGCCGCGUGGAACGUUUGACUGGUCAAUUGAUUGUGUCAUCAACAAAAUACGGAGUUGUACGGGUGAGCCAGUGACCGUAUAAUCAUGAUAUGUAUUUGUUUAACACGGUACAGACGCAAGGGCUCAUAUAUACGUGCAAGCACUCACCGCUAUAAGUGCACACAUGCGAACCCUACCCCUAUGAGCACCUUCGAGAGAGUGGGCCAGCAUAUAUGAUCUUGAGAUUUUACGAAGUCACCAUAGGUGCCUCGUAGUUGAGUGGAACGUCUCCUCCCACUGAACGUACAUCGCCGGAAAAUACUGAAAUUAACACAAGAUAAAUGCGAGCACCGGUGCUUUAACCUUGGUGCGCUCGAGAAACCACUGUCCUCUAACCAUCCAACCACAUGUUGGUUAGCACGACAAAAUGUAUGUGGUGACCGUGAUGAGCUUAUUCUGAAGUCCAGUGACCAUAUCGUGCUUUUGCUUCAAAUACAAUGACCGUAAGUGUCGUCAACAAAAUACGGAGCACGCAUCAAAUGCAAAGUCCGUCAGUGUCAUCAACAAAAUAUGGAGACGUGUCGUGAGCUAGAUACCGUUGUACUAUUGUAUAUGCUUAUUUUCUUAGUGGCCGAUUGCGUGUGUGGUGUGGUGGGCACAUCGUUUCUAGUUGUGGUGGGUCAACAUGAAGACUCAUGGGUCGGUUCCAUCCUGCGCCACAUAUAGGUUGGACCGAGACGUGUUAUACGAAGACCCAUGUGGAGGACUCGGCGUACAACACGAAGCUACCAGAGUCGCGGAGGACUCUAUCCCCACUGGUGAUAAGCCGACUAUAUAUGAUUUGUAACCCUAGGCCCUUAGUAUGUUAUACAAGCUUGGGGGCUAGUUCGUCGAUAGUAUACACACACGCACAAUGCCUGGUAUUCACGUGUACUUUGUACACACCCCUAUCACUAAUAUACAGUACCAGGAGUAGGCUCUUUCUUCAACUGCAAGGGUCCGAUCUGAACUAGGGUAAAACUUUGCCUCGUAUUACCAUCUAGCCUAAGAGCCAGGGGUAUCCUACCGAAUGAUAUGAUGAAAUCAUAUCUGCCAACUACUAAGAGAGAGGUGUGUCGGGGGGGCAAUGUGUGCGAGAGAGGCCUAAAGAUAAUGUGCGUGCGGGAGACAUGUAGGCACAUAUAUGUGCGUAUAGAGGGCUAGUAGAGACCGUGCAUGUGUAUAUAUGCAUGUGAGAGAAAUAGUGUUUUCCAACUGAGAUUAGUGAAAAGAGUGGUACAUAGUAGUCAGAAAGAGAGAGAGAGAGAGAGAGAGAAACAGAGAGAGCAUGUGCGUGAGACACCCCGACACCCUGAGAGAGAUUGUGAGCAUGUGUGGAAGAGAAAUGCUGAUGCAUAUAAAGUGUGUGCACUUAUGCGUUAGAUAGAGAGAUAUAUAACGCGUUUGUGAGAACGGGGCGAGGCAUAGUGCAUCUACGUGUAAAAGGCGGUUCUACGCAUUAAAUUAAAAUAUAAAUGGCAUUAUUAUUUUUGGAUGAGAUCAUGAAUUUUGCAAAUUGCGUAUGGACGAAAAUCGGUCUAUCAGACACCCAUACUCUAUUGAAUUCUAGCAUGUGCAUGUGUUUAUUUCAUAUUAUCGAUCCAUAGAGUGAGAGCGGUUUGAAAUACAGCCAAUGGAUGCUUUUGCAAUUCAUAUAUAAACAUUAAUUAGUGCACUCCAUGUUGUUAGUGUGAAGCACUUUAUACAUUUGUCACUUGCAUGGAUACAUUCCAAAUUGCUAGCUACGAAAUAGAAUACAUGUCGAAUUCAACAUAAAGGGGGUUUCGAAGAUUCGAAUACAUAGGAAGUGCAUUCAUCUAUUUGAACCCGAGAUAAUGGCAUUUGUAAAUCAGAUGUAAAAGGGGGCAUCAAUCUUUGUUGUGAGUUUGAACAUGCUAUAUAUAUUCAUACGCAUAUCUAACUUUUUUUUGCAACCAAGGAGAUUAUAUCUGGAACCAUGCAUGAACUGAGGUAAGUUGCAUAUUUUUUAAUAUAUACUCGUGUACAAUGUAUAUUCAAAUGUACCCCCUCCAUUCCAAAAUAAUCGUAGCUUUAGGAUUUUCAAGAGUAAAGAUUUGUGAAGUUUGACAAAUCCUGAAAGUUCAAUUCAAGAGAACCGAAAACGUUAAUGCUUCUGCUCCCAAAUAUUGAACGAAGCGCCAAAUAGGCCUCUGGUCACCCGAAACUGCGCGAGACUAAUGUUUUGGUGGUAGGAAAUUACUGUCCUGACUCUGGCCCAUGUAGCCUAUCGGCCCGAUGUCCAAAGGUCUAAACCGGGGUAGGUUUGUAACUUCACCAAGACGCCAGUCUCAACCGCCUCCGAGAAGCAUUCAUACGCCGUGGGCGCCUACCCAUGCACUCGGCCGAAAUCUAUCCCGCCCACAUUUGGGACACCUGACAUGACUGUCCUACCCCCAACCCGCAAUAUGUCCGAAAUUUUAGAUGGGGGCAAAGUUUGUAACUUUCCCCAAAUUUCAAACAAGCGCGUCUCAAACCGAAACAUUGUUCCCCCUUAGUUCCCCGCCUCCCUCCGUUUCCCCAUUCAUACUCCGUGGGCGCGAAAACGCCCUCUCCACCAGCCACGAAACCCCAGCCUCCUCCGUCCUCCACCCCAUAGCGGCCAAUCCACCGCCGCCCUCCUCCAUCACGCCGGAGCCGGUACCCCGACGUCGUCGUCCAACGCAACCGCAACCGCAACGCCCUCAAGGACUUAGCAGUUGAAGCCGAGGGAGAGCUGCCUCCACGACGCCGACGCCGAUGUGCGCCGUACCAGAACCACUCCGACCACGCCGUCCUACGCCUCACUGCUGCCGCUCCACUGUCGCAACCGUCCAUCGCACCGGAGCUGUUCCCGCUACGCCGUCGUUCGCCGCCUCGGAUCUGCUUCCCCGCCGCCGACAGACGGCCACCGCACCACACUCAACAACUUGGCCAUGGGUUCGUCCAAGGCUGCACCGUCCUCCACAACUUCUGGUUUCCAGCGAACAACAAGAAGAUCGUCGGAAAAACAGAAGGAGGACACAGCGCUGCCAGCAGAAAGAGGUACUCCUCUUCCCUUAUUCAUGCAAAUCUUACGUCUCCGCUCACACCGUAUUCACCCACGAAAGAAACUAGUUGAGCGCUUCUUACUGCAUCUUCUUCGUGAUACUAAAUGCACAAGGUUUCCUCCCUUUUACUAUUUCACCUUUGCUAGAGGUCAGUAGCCCGCCUGGAUUUCAAUUCAGGGUCAGUCGAACCGCAAUUAAAAGAAGCAGCACCCGCUUAGGCGCGCGGAGCACCUAGUCCGCAUGUUCCCCGGGGAAGCGGCACAUCGGUGUCUAUCAUAGGGGUGUGGGGCGCAGGAGCUGCUUGCGCCCGAUCUGGAGGUCGGCGGGGCUUAAAUGAAUGGCCGGGGGACGGUGCCAAGCACGGCGGUGCGGUGAGGUCGAGGGGAGGGCGCAGGCAGGGGAGGAAUACUGGGCCGGUGGUCGCUGGCGUUUCGAGGAAGAUCGUCAACACUGACUGGCUGGAGGUAGAUGAAGGAGAUCUGCCCGUUCUUUGUACAUCGGACGGUGCAGAAAAAAUGGACUGACAUAUUUGCUUUCAGUCGACUGUUAUUUUCAUAGAAUCCUGUAGUAAUUUAGUGUGCCAUGCAUGUUGUAGAGCUAUCAUAUGUCUCCCGUCAUUUAUUUCUCACCGACCUGCUAUCUGCUACCUUUACACUGUACUAAUUGUGCACACACUUCACCCAUACUCACACUAUUGUUUUUUUAUGCAUGGGUAUUUCAGACUCUGGCGCAGUGUUGAUGAAUGCAGAAAAGAAAAGACAGAAGUCGCUCCAGUGUAAUUCGAAGAUAAGCACUAAGCGUUUCAGCGCUCUAAUGGGUGCAGUGUCAGCAGUUGGAGACAGUAAACGUAGCUCUGUAGUUGAUGAUCUCAAUUGCCACACACAACCAUCCCAGGUGCUUGCUUUAACUUCGCGCUGUCAAAUGUGGUUGCAUGUUGCAUAUGGUGUCUAGCUUGUAUUGCUUCCAAUUUGGUUAAAUUGCAUCUGCUUACUUUACACAUUAUACCUUUGAUAAUGACAUGCCUUCCUGUUUUUGAUACAUACUACAUAUGUCUAUUAACCAUGUUCGUACAUCAAACUAAUGCUCUUUUGUAUCCCUCGUCAAUCACUUAUGAUGAGACAGUCACCCGAGUGGGUUACUGUGAGACGCCCUACUCGUUUAAAGUGUGCAGUGUCAUCCUCCCCACAUGAUUCUCAAGAAACAGCAAGGCUAAAUGAAGAUAGUCAACGCAGCUCUCUAGUUGAUCACCGCAAUUCCCCCACACCACCAUUGCAGGUGCUUACUCUUACUUGGCAGUGUGAUAUGUGGUUGCAUGUUGCAUAUGGUGUCUACCUUGUAAUGCUUCUAAUUAGGGUAAAUUGCAUCUGCUUAGUUAACACAUUAUACCUGUGAAUAUGACAUGCCUUCCUAUUUUUGGUACAUACUACGUCUGCCUAUCACACCAUGUUCUUACAUCAAACUACUGUUCUUGUGUAUCCUGCGUCUAUCGCUUAUGAUGAGACAGUCACGCGCGUGGGUUAAUAUGAGACGCAAUACUCUUAUAAAGAAUGCAAUUUCAUCCUCUCCACAUGAUUCUCAAGAAACAGCAAGCCUAAAUGAAGAUAUUGAACAUAGCUCUGUACCUGAAGACCGCACUUCCCCUACACCACCAUCACAGGUGCUUGCUCUAACUUCGCAGUGUGAUAUGUGGUUGCAUGUUGCAUACGGUGUCUAGCUUGUAAUGCUUCUAAUUAGGGUAAAUUGCAUCUGCUUAGUUUACACACUAUACCUGUGAAUAUGACAUGCCUUCCUAUUUUUGGUACACACUACAUCUAUGUGUUAACCUUGUUCUUACAUGAAACUACCUCUUUUCUGUAUCUUGCAUCAAUCACUUACGAUGAGUCACCUUUAUUCGUUGCAUAUUGCAUAUUAUUUCUAGCCUGUUGCCAUGUAUUGCUUCUAAUUUGGUCAAAUACAUUUGUUAGGGCACCCUUUUAAUUUGGCAGAGUGAUAUUGGUUUCAUCUUUCAUAUGGUUUCUAGCUUGCAUUGAUUCUAACAAGUUCAAGCACCUUGUGCUUAGUUUACACUUUAUACAUCAUACAUGUCAAUAUGUCACGACGUCCUGUUUUUCAUACAUAUUCCAUCCUCCUAUCAUGCGGCUGCCUUACAUGAAAGUAGUGUUCGUCAGUAUCAUGCAUCAAUGAGUUCUGAAGAGCAAAUUUUAUUCCUUUUUCUUGUGGGUUUGACUUGACAAGGCAAAAUCAAGAAAGAGGAAGGAAAAGAGUAAGGAAGGCGAUGAUGGUGGUCCUCUACAGCAACGUAAACGGAGCAUCUGUACCGAUUCUCCUUGUACUGAUAGUGCAUUACAAGGUCCAAGUCUCCGCUCCCCUACUCCACCAUCCAAGGUGCUUGCUCUAACUUGGCGGUGUGAUAUCUGGUUGCAUGUUGCAUAUGGUGUCUAGCUUGUAUUGCUCCUAAUUAGUGUAAACUGCAUCUUCUUAGCUUACACAUGAUACAUGUGAAUAUGACACGCUUUCCUGUUUUUGGUACAUACUAUAUCUGUCUAUCACACCAUGUUCUUACAUGAAACUACUCUUCUUGUGUAUCCUGCAUCAGUCACUUAUGAUGGGACACCUUUAAGUUGGCAGUGUGAUAUUGGUUUGCCUCUUAAAUAUGAUUUCUAGCCUGUAUUGCUUCUAGUUUGAUGAACGCCACCUAUGACGAGACAGUUUUAACUUGGCAGAGUGAUAUUGAUUGCACCUUCCAUAUGGUGUCUUGCAGUGUUUCUAAUUUGUUGAAGUGCCUUCUGCUUAGUUACCACAUCAUAGGUGUGAAUAUGUCAAGCUGUCCAUUUUUCCGUACAUAUUCCAUCCUCGUAUCAUGACUUUGCCUUUCAUCAGAGUAGUGUUCGUCAGUAUCAUGCAUGAAUGAGUUCUGAAGAGCGAAUGAUAUUCCUUUUUCUUGUCGGUAUGACCUCACAAUGCAAAAUCAGUAAAGCUGAAGGAAAUUGGCAAGGCAUUGGAUGAUGGUGGUCCUUCCGAGCAACUGAAACGGAGGUUCUCUACAGAUUCUACUCCGCCAUCCUCCCAACAAGAUUCGCAAGACAACGCAAGGCUAGACAGUCAACGUAGCUGUGUAGAUGAUGAGCACAUCUCCCCUACUCCGCCAUCACAGGUGCUUGCUCUAACUUGGCACUAUUAUAUGUGGUUGCAUGUUGCGUAUGAUGUCUAGCUUGUAUUGCUUCUAACUUUGUUGAAUUGCAUCUGCUUACUUUACACAUAAUGCAUGUGAAUAUGACAUGUGUUCCUGUUUCUACAUCUGUAACACCCCGUAUGUAACUUGCCAUAUUUGUAACUCCGACUCUUGCCAUUUUCGGCUAUGUGCUAUGAUUUACCCUCCGUUGUCGGGUUUUGUCUUUCGUUUUGUAUUUUGUCAUGUCAUGCAUUUUCAUAUCAUGUCAUCAUGUGCAUUGCUUUUGCAUACGUGUUCGUCUGAUGCAUCCGAGCAUUUUCCCCGUUGUCCGUUUUCCAAUCCGGCGCUCCUAUCUCCUCCGGUGCACCCCUCUUGUUUUCUUUCGUGUGCGUGUGUCAAACUUUCUCGGAAUGGACCGAGGCUUGUCAAGUGGCCUUAAUAUACCACCCGGAGACUACCGGUCAAGUUUCGUUCCAUUCGGAGGUCGUUUGGUACUCCAAUGGUUAACCGGGCAUCCGCAAUGUCCAUUUGAGUGUCCAGCAAAAACCCCCUCCAAAACCAGCCCAAAACCCACCAAACUCUCUUCCAUGCUCUAGGUCGUUCGAUCACGAUCGUGUGGGCGAAAACCGCACCUCAUUUGGAGCCUCCUAGCUCCCUCUACCUAUAAAUAUGUGAGCAUCCCGAAAAACGAAUCGCAGUCUAACCCUAGCGUCCUCCACCUCGCGCCGCCGGACAACGUCCACCCGCGCCGGACACAUCAGCGUCCGCCGCCGCCGUACCGCGCCGGCCCGCGGAGCCCACGUCGGGCCCCCGCGAGCNNNNNNNNNNNNNNNNNNNNNNNNNNNNNNNNNNNNNNNNNNNNNNNNNNNNNNNNNNNNNNNNNNNNNNNNNNNNNNNNNNNNNNNNNNNNNNNNNNNNNNNNNNNNNNNNNNNNNNNNNNNNNNNNNNNNNNNNNNNNNNNNNNNNNNNNNNNNNNNNNNNNNNNNNNNNNNNNNNNNNNNNNNNNNNNNNNNNNNNNNNNNNNNNNNNNNNNNNNNNNNNNNNNNNNNNNNNNNNNNNNNNNNNNNNNNNNNNNNNNNNNNNNNNNNNNNNNNNNNNNNNNNNNNNNNNNNNNNNNNNNNNNNNNNNNNNNNNNNNNNNNNNNNNNNNNNNNNNNNNNNNNNNNNNNNNNNNNNNNNNNNNNNNNNNNNNNNNNNNNNNNNNNNNNNNNNNNNNNNNNNNNNNNNNNNNNNNNNNNNNNNNNNNNNNNNNNNNNNNNNNNNNNNNNNNNNNNNNNNNNNNNNNNNNNNNNNNNNNNNNNNNNNNNNNNNNNNNNNNNNNNNNNNNNNNNNNNNNNNNNNNNNNNNNNNNNNNNNNNNNNNNNNNNNNNNNNNNNNNNNNNNNNNNNNNNNNNNNNNNNNNNNNNNNNNNNNNNNNNNNNNNNNNNNNNNNNNNNNNGAGGCCUCGCCUCCUCCUCGCCUCGCCGUCGCUUCCUCCUCCCCUCCGGCGAGCUCCGGCGGGCGGAGCCCCGAGCCCGAGCACGAGCAUCGCCAGAUCCGUUCGCGCGUUGACUUUUUCUCGCCCCUCUUUUUCUCUAAGUCCUCAGAUUUCAUCAGCAAGUUCCUCUGUUCGUAUAGCUAUAACUCCGUGCAUGUAGCUCCGAUUCGCGUGUAUAAUAUUUGAAAUUGUUCGUCUAGCGAUGCUCUUCAUUUUGUUAAAUUGCACCAUGUUCAUUAGAGGUCACCUUGAUGCCCAAAUCUCUGUUGGAAGAGGGCUAGUUGCUGUUAUUCUCUGGUUCUUAUCAGAACUUGGAGAUUUGUCAUUUUUGUAUCAUUUAAUCUAUGCAUCUUUUGAGCAUGAGCUCUACAUGUGUUUUGAAGUAUGCCAUGCCAUCUUUCCAGUGGUGUAGUCCAUGUAUUUUUGUGAUCUCUGUGGUGACUAGCACAAGCAUGCAAAGUAGGUCCCAUAAUAUUUCUGAUUUCAGGGACUUAGUGAUUUCUCUAAGUCCUUGUCUGCUGUAAUUUUGUUGCCAUGUAAACUUGAUGCUACAGAGAGAUCCAUGCAUAUUUUGGAGAUGUUCAGUAAGGAUGUUUUGUAGAUAUAGUUGUAAUUGAUCCAUUUCUGCAAUUGUUUGCAAUUAUGGAGUGCCAUAGCAUGACUCAAUCGUGCUCCACUUUUGCUAUAAAAUAUUUCUGGCAGAUUCUUAACAUGAUAUGCAAUUUUGCCAAGCUUAUUGUAGUUGAUCCAUACAUACUAUGCAAUUGUUCUUGCCAUGGUUAGCUUCAUAAACAUGCCAUAUUGCUAUAGGUAUGCUUGGUUUGUCAUGCAUUGCUCUGUAGUGAGUGCAUCAAGCUCACAAAGAGGCCUACAUAUUAUUAUUUCUGCCAUGCUCUGUUUUCUGCCAAGUCUGAAACCUGAUAAUGAAACUUGCUAUGUUUACAUGCUUGCCAUCAUAUCUUCUGGUCCUUUCUGGCUUAUGGUCAGUAAGGGACUUUUGUCAUGUGCUUUUAGUGGAACACUACCAUGCCUUAUUUUGCUAUGGUAAGUUCCUGUAGCAUGUUGAUUUCAUGCUCUGAAUAUUGCUACCUGAUGAUGAUUUCUGCCAUGUCCAGUUUUUCACUAAAAGUCUGUGAACCUGUUAUCUUUUGCACUUUUGUCAUGCUUGUUUGAGCUUGAUAUGUUGUGAACUAGCCGUAGCUCAGUGUUCGUCUUUUGUCAAGCAUCUCCUGUAGUUUACUGCCAUAUGCUUUGUUGCUAUGUUGGGGUGCUAUAGCAUUGUUACUUGGUGCAUUUUGAGUGCUAUCUUGCUGUUUAUCGCAGAUUCGUGUCAUUCUUGUUUUGCUUGCCAUUUGCAAACCGUGCAUCCGUUUCCGGUGAUCUUUAUAUCGAUUUCGACCGAAAUCAUCUCAUCUUUCCAGUGGCAUGCUUGGGUUGCCAAGUUACUGCCACGUUCAUCAUUUUCCUUCCGGAGCACGCAUAUGCAUCGCAUAUCAUAUCUCGCAUAUCAUACAUGUUUUGCAUCAUGUUGCUUGCGCAUUUCGCGUUGUUGAUUGUGGUUCCGUUUGUUUGUGUUCUUGUCUUGGGUAGAGCCGGGAGACGAGUUCGUGAACGAGGAACCUGUCGAGUACACUUACGAGGAUCAAGCUUUCGACAACUCUGAGAAUCUUGCAGGCAAGAUGACCACCCCUCGAAAUCACUUCUAUCUUUGCUUUGCUAGUUGUUCGCUCUAUUGCCAUGCUCCGCUACCUAUCACUUGCUAUAUCAUAUCUCCCAUUUAGCCAUGUCAACCUCUAACCAUCCUUUCCUAGCAAACCGUUGUUUGGCUAUGUUACCGCGUUUGCACAGCCCCUCUUAUAGCGUUGCUAGUUGCAUGUGAAGUUGAAGUUGUUCCAUGUCGGAACAUGGAUAUGUUGGGAUAUCAUAAUAUCUCUUAUUUAAUUAAUGCAUCUAUAUAUAUUUGGUAAAGGGUGGAAGGCUCGGCCUUAUGCCUGGUGUUUUGUUCCACUCUUGCCGCCCUAGUUACUGUUAUACCGGGAUUAUGUUCCUUGAGUUUGCGUUCCUUACGCGGUCGGGUGAUUUAUGGGACCCCCUUGACAGUUCGCCUUGAAUAAAACUCCUCCAGCAAGGNNNNNNNNNNNNNNNNNNNNNNNNNNNNNNNNNNNNNNNNNNNNNNNNNNNNNNNNNNNNNNNNNNNNNNNNNNNNNNNNNNNNNNNNNNNNNNNNNNNNNNNNNNNNNNNNNNNNNNNNNNNNNNNNNNNNNNNNNNNNNNNNNNNNNNNNNNNNNNNNNNNNNNNNNNNNNNNNNNNNNNNNNNNNNNNNNNNNNNNNNNNNNNNNNNNNNNNNNNNNNNNNNNNNNNNNNNNNNNNNNNNNNNNNNNNNNNNNNNNNNNNNNNNNNNNNNNNNNNNNNNNNNNNNNNNNNNNNNNNNNNNNNNNNNNNNNNNNNNNNNNNNNNNNNNNNNNNNNNNNNNNNNNNNNNNNNNNNNNNNNNNNNNNNNNNNNNNNNNNNNNNNNNNNNNNNNNNNNNNNNNNNNNNNNNNNNNNAGCAGACUGCGGGGCCCCCUCCUGGAAACUCGAGGUCUGGUUUUACUCAUAGGAUGUCUCAUCCAGUGUGCCCUGAGAAUGAGAUAUGUGCAGCUCCUAUCGGGAUUUGUCGGCACAUUCGGGUGGCUUCGCUGGUCUUGUUUUACCAUUGUCGAGAUGUCUUGUAAACCGGGAUUCCGAGACUGAUCGGGUCUUUCCGGGAGAAGGUUUAUCCUUCGUUGACCGUGAGAGCUUAUGAUGGGCUAAGUUGGGACACCCCUGCAGGGUAUUAUCUUUCGAAAGCCGUGCCCGCGAUUAUGAGGCAGAUGGGAAUUUGUUAAUGUCCGGUUGUAGAAAACUCGUCACUUGACCCAAGUAAAAUACAUCAACCGCGUGUGUAGCCGUGAUGGUCUCUUCUCGGCGGUGUCCGGGAAGUGAACACGGCCUGUGUUAUGUUUGACGUAAGUAGGUGUUCAGGACCUCUUCUUGGUCAUUGCUAGAUGACGUCCGUUCCGUUGCUUCUCUUCUCGCUCUCAUUUGCGCAAGUUAGCCACCAUAUAUGCUUUUGCCGCUGCAGCUCCACCUCUUUGCACCCCCCCCCCUUUCCUAUAAGCUUAAAUAGUCUUGAUCUCGCGGGUGUGAGCUUGGUGAGUCCCCGUGACUCACAGAUUCUACCAAAACAGUUGCAGGUGCCGACGAUGCCAGUGCAGACAAUGGCGUCGAUCUCAAGUGGGAGUUCGACGAGGAACGUGGUCGUUACUAUGUGUCUUUUCCUGAUGAUCAGUAGUGGAGCCCAGUUGGGACGAUCGGGGAUCUAGCAUUUGGGGUUGUCUUAAUUUCAUCUGGAUUUUGACCGUAGUCGGUCUAUAUGAUUGUUUUUUUGGAUGAUGUAUGAUGAUAUUUAUGUAUUGUGUGAAGUGGCGAUUGUAAGCCAACUCUUUAUCCCAUUCUUGUUCAUUACAUGGGAUUGUGUGAAGAUGACCCUUCUUGCGACAAAACCACUAUGCAGUUAUGCCUCUAAGUCGUGCCUCGACACGUGGGAGAUAUAGCCGCAUCGUGGGCGUUACAACAUCAGACUACUAUUCUUGCAUAUCCCACAUCAGUCACUUAUGAUAAGGCACCUUUAAGUCGCCACUGUGAUAUUGGUUGUGUCUUGCAUAUGAUUUCUAGCAUGUACUGCUUCUAAUUUGUUGAAACGCCAUACAGUUUGAACUUGGUAGAGUGAUAUUGGUUGCAUCUUUCAUAUGGUGUCUAGCUUGAAGUGCUUCUAAUUUGUUGAAAUGCCUUCUGCUUAGUUACCACAUCAUAGGUGUGAAUAUGUCACACCAUCCUGUUUUUCAUACAUAUUCCAUCCUCGCAUCAUGUGUUUGACUUUCAUCCGAGUAGUGUUCAUCAGUAUCAUGCAUGAAUGAGUUCUGAAGAGCGAAUUUUAUUCAUUUUUCUUAUCUGUUUGACUUCACAAUGCAAAAUCAUUACAGCUGAAGGAAAUUAGUCCGGUAGUGGAUGAUGGUGGUCCUUCGGAGCAACUCAAACACGGGGUCUCUACAGAUUCUACUCCGCCAUCCUCCCAACAAGAUUCGCAAGACAACACAAGGCUGGACAGUCAACGUAGCUGUGUAGAUGAUGAGCACAUCUCCCCUACUCCACCAUCACAGGUGCUUGCUCUAAAUUGACACUAUUAUAUGUGGUUGCAUGUUGUGUAUGAUGUCUAGCUUGUAUUGCUUCUAACUUGAAUUGCAUCUGCUUACUUUACACAUAAUGCCUGUGAAUAUGACACGUGUUCCUGUUUCUAGAACAUACGUGUACAUGAUGAGCACAUAUCCCCUAGUCCACCAUCACAGGUGCUUGCUCUUACUUGGAACUGUUAUACGUGGUUGCGUUUUCCGUAUGAUGUCUAGUUUGUAUUGCUUCUGAUUAUGUUGAAUUGCAUCUGCGUAGCUUACAACUUAUACCUGCAACGAUCACUUACCCAUAAGACACAUUUAACUUGGGACUGUGAUGUAGGUUGCAUCUUGCAUUGUCUUCUAGCUUAUACUACUUCUAAUUUCUAGAAAUGGCACUUACGACGAGACACUUUUUACCUGAUAGAGUGAUAUUGGUUGCAUGUUCAUAUGGUGUCUAGCUUUCAUUUCUUCUAAUUUUGUUGAAAUGCCUUCCGCUUACUGUUUUUUCAUACAUAUUCCAUCCUCCUAUCGUACGUGUGAAUAUGAAACGCUGUCUUUUUUGUAUAUAUUCCAUCCUCCUAUCCCGCGCUUGUCUUACAUCAAAGUAGUGUUCGUCUGUAUCAUGCAUCAACCAGUUAUGCAGAGCUAAUUUUAUUCAUCUUCUUGUGGUUUUGACUUCAUAAGGCAAUAUCAGAAAAUAGGAAGGAAAAGAGUAAGUUAGGGGAUGUUGGUGGUCCUCCGGGCCGACGCAAACAGAGACUCUCUAGAUUUGCCACUGCUACUGCUAAUGAAGUUGAAGUCCCAAGUCUACAUGAUGAGUUCAUCUCCCAUACUCCACCAUCGUAGGUGCUUGCUCUAAGUUGACAGUGUGAUAAUUGGUUUCAUGUUGCAUAUGUUGUCUAGCAUGUAUUUCUUCUAUUUUGAUUAAGUUGCACGUGCUGAGUUCAUACGUUAUACAUGUGCAUAUGACAUGGCUUUCUAUGUCUAAAAUACACUGCAUCUAUCUAUCAUACCAUGUUCUUACAUCAAAGUACUGCUGUUGUGUAUCCCGCAUCAGUCACUCAUGAUUGGAUGCUUUUAACAUGGCAGUUUGAUAGUGGUUGCAUCUUGCAUUGAUUUCUACGUUGUACUGCUUCUAAUUUUUCGAAUUGCCACUUAUGACAAGACACUUUUAACUUGGCAGAGUAAUAUUGGUUGCAUCUUUCAUAUGGUGUCUAGCUUGCAUUACUUCUAUUUUCUUGAAAAUCCUUCUGCUUAGUUUGCACAUCGUAGCUGUGAAUAUGUCAUGCCGUCCUGUUUUUCUUACAUAUUCCAUCCUCAUACGGUUGUCUUACAUCAAAGUAUUGCUUGUCUGUAUCAUGCAUCAAUGAGUUAUGAAGAGUGAUUUUAUUCUUUUGUGUUGUGGGUACAGCUUGACAUGGCAAAGUCAAAAAAGAGCAAGGAAAAUAAUAUAGUAGGGAGUGCUGUUACUCGUCGGGUGAAACGGAAAAGGUUCUGCCAUCGAGAUUCUGGUGGUACUUAUAGUGCAGUAGAAGGUCCAAGUCCACCGGCUAAAUCUAUAAACACAGUAUCACCUGCUCCACCAGCUGCAGCAUCCGCUUCAACUGUACCAGCAUCUCAACCAGUUACUCGUUCGUUUGCUCCGGAACUGGCCAGUUCCCAAGCUGCCUUCACACCUAACACUAGUUUCGAAGCACUGCUGACACAACAGGACUUGGCAAGAUCAGAUGAACCUCAUGAGCAUCAACACCAAGACGGUACCUGACCGAGUCAAGUUGCAGUUGCAUGCUCCUUUAUAUGUACUCUCACAGUUUGAUGUACACUAACACUUUCCAUAUUCGUUGUCGAACUAGCACCACGGCGCAAGCGGAAAUAGACAUCAGGGAUAAUGCUUGAUAGAUUAACAAAAUCUAAAGGAGGAAGAAUGGAGAUCCAUUUUGAGGCAGGUUUAAAAAGGCCACGUGAUGCUACAGAGUCAGCCAAGUUAGUAUCAGAGGCAGCUGUUGCCGUUAGGUGUCAUGCACGUAUCCUCCCAACGUGGAUCCAGUAUAGGAAUGAGAAAGACAAUACCCGGUUUAACACCUUCCUUGACCAUUUAUCCGUAAGUAAUGUUAUUCAUCGCAAUUAGUAAUAUUGUCUUGCUCUGUCCCAUACUUUCUAGCUUCCUCCUAAUAAGACUCACAUUCUUUUUUCAACAGAUGAGGUUCAAGUUGGAUCCGAAAGAUGAUGCAACUAAACAAGCAUGCACUCAUGUUUUUCAGUCUGCUCUGCGACAGUAUCGGUACCACCUUAGAAAAUCUCACUUUGAAGGCAAGGCUAACAAUGAAAUCGCCCAAACAUCUCCAGUGGAAUAUAUUACAGAUGAAGACUGGACAGCCCUCGUUAAACACUGGUCUGAUCCAAAGUAUCAGGUAGGCUAUAUGUAUUUGAUCAGACCACAUAUUGAACUUGUAUUUAUGUAUGUGCCCUACAAGUGUAUCUUCUUCUAGGCUAACUGUUUGAAGAACAAAACCAACCGUUAUAAAGUGAAAUUCCAACAGACAACAGGAUCUCGUAGCUAUAUUGCACACUGCGAGGCUCUUGUAAAUAGCUGCUACUUCCUUCUUUUUUGUGCCAUAUUAUCGUAUCUAUAUUGACUUGUUCCAAAUACAGAGGAAAGCCCGUGCGGACCAAAAAGAACCUGAACCGAAUGCAGUGCAAAUCUUCAAGGAUUGCCACACCAGCAAGAUGAAGGGCAUGAGCACACCAGUUCAAGCCGCUGUUGUAAGUCCUUACUCCUCCUGCCUUGAACUGAUUGGUACUGUGAUGUGUUCAUUUAACUACUUGGUUUGCAGCCAAUGUCAGUUACUCUGUUCACUUUUAUUCACAGUUGUCUUAACAUAUCAUUUCACCUUACAUGGUUUAAAAGAGAUGAAGGAUAUUCUUUUGGUCUUGAUCUGUAAUCUAGUUGAUAUGUUCACGUGCGCACACAAUGAUAAAAUAGCCUGUUUGUUUUAUAUCUGUUUGCCCAUGAUAUGAAUGAUGUCAUACUAUGUUCAUCCUACUUUAAACCAUGUCUCUUUAUCCUUAGAUGUCAACGAAUGUGAGGAAAUAGACAAUACAGUAGGCAUGCUACAUGGACAUAUGUUCCGAAAGUGAUUUUAUUAUGUAGUUGGCACUACAAUACAUGCUAAUGUAUUACAGUAGUUCACCAAAAUAAGUUAUGUAUAAACGUUUAACCUACUUUGUUUGUUUUUGUCUCAUUAGUAACUUAUCUGGUACACUAAUCUACAAGUUCAAACUUUCAGGAAGCUAUGGAACAAAUGAUUGAACAGCCACAACCACCUGAAGGUGACGAGGCUACUACAGGCACAAUGUCACCUCUUGCUGCAGUUCGUCAGUAUCUCUCCACUAACAGUGCAAAAAAGCACCUUCCUGCGUAAUUCUGGGUUGGUUGUCAAGGUAACCUCGUCCAAAUUGCCUACUAAACAAAAUCUUCCUGCUAGACAGAGUGAUAUAUCUGUGCUCCAGACACAAGUCCAAUUCCUAAUGGACGGUGUUUCGGAAACAAGAAUAGUGGUUGAGAAAUGUCGUCAAGAUAUGAAUGGUUUUGAAACCAGACUAUCAGACAUUCGCUUCGUUGUUCAAGAGCAAUGGCGGAAAAAAGGUGGAGAUCGUGCUGCUCCAUCAGAUUCUACAGCCUGAAACAUUAGCACUCAGGUCAAAUGAUCUGUGCUUCUAUACAUCUGAUGGUGUUUUUAUCUGGAAGGACUGUAAACUUUAUGCCAACAGGCCUUUUGUUGUAUGGUUGGAAUUUAUUUUGUUGUGAUACAACAUUUAUGAUGCUGCCUCAAGCUGCAGUAAUUACGACGCUAUUUUUGUAUAGUGUAGGUUUAUCUUAGUAAUGUAUUCGGCCGAAAGCUUCGUAGGAGCCCAACAUGCCAACAUUCGUCGGGCCCAUUCCAAUUGGGCUAAAAACGAUUACGGGCCGAAAUUGGCAUGUAGCCCACUAAAAAUAUCUGGGCCUAAAUCAGCAUAAGCUUUCAUAUUUUUCUGGUAGGCAUGUGCCCAUAGUGGGCCUUUAACAGGCCUAAACAUAAUUUGGGCCCUCAGUAAAAAUAGGCCGUUUACAGGUGUAAAUAUCUCGAGCCCAUAAAAAACAUGGGCCUUUAAUAGACCGAAAGUGAGAUUGGGCCCUGAUUGUGCCAAAUAACCCACUAGACUUAGUAGGCCGAAAUGGUGGCCCAUUUACGAUGCGGAUCUUUGACAGGCCGAAAUUCGGACGGGCCGUAAAUGCGCCGACCUAAUACACGGGCCUUUAACAGGCCGGAACUUCGGUCGGGCUAGAUUAUCAUCAUUUUUAUAUGGGCCGUUAAUGGGCCCGAUAUGACGUUGGGCCACAUAUGGCCCAUGGUUUACGUCCGGCGUUAACAGGACGAAAAUGACAACAGGCCGAAAGUGGCCCAAAGCUAUAGUGGGCCUCUAACAGGCCGAAUGUCAGACAUGGCCGAAUAUGACCCAAAUCAUUCACGUUCGUUUAUGGGCCGAAAGUUUUGAUGGCCUGUAAAUGGGCCCAAAUGAAGCCGGACCUUUAACAGGUCGGAAAUACACCGGGCCGUAAUUCAGCCCAAUUACUUAGCGGACUGUUAACGGGCAAGAAGUGACCAUGGGUCGCAUUGAUGACAAGUUUAGGACAGGCCGUUGACAGGCCAAUUUGACAGAGAAUGUUGGGCCUUUAGCUGGGCCGGCCCAUUAUGGUCUGCAAAAUAUUGUGGGCCUUUAGCUGGGCCGGCCCAUUGUGGUCCGCAAAAUCUUGUGGGCCUUUAGCUGGGCCGGCCCAUUAUGGUCUGCAAAAUCGUGUGGGCCUUUAGCUGGGCCGGCCCAUUAUGGUCCGCUAAAUUUUGUGGGUCUUUAGCUGGGCCGGCCCAUUAUGGUCCGCUAAAUCUUAUGGGCCUUCGGUUGGGCCGGCCCAUUUAAACUUUGUGGGCCACUUUUGGGCCGGUCCACGUGUCGGUCCGUCAGCCAAUGAGAAUUUUACACGUGGAAAAUCGGCAUUGGUCGUGGCUGUUAAUGGGUUAUCGGAUCCAAAAUCUGACCCGAUAGCUUAACGGCGUUCCGUUACGGUGAAUGCCACGUGUCGGUCACCCUUGAUGAAAGCACUUCUGUGACGCGCGAUUUAUCGUCAUGGAAGUGGACACUUCCGUGAUGAUAAUUUUGGCAAUGUCAUGGAACACUUCUACGACAGCACAGGUAUGACUAUCUUGAUUCUGUCAUAAAUUUGUCAUGGAUGUACAUGCAUGACAGAAAACGCGACCUACUGUGACAAACACAUAUCAUCACGGAAGUGUAUUUUUUUGUAGUGCAUGGGGCUGUAGGUAAUUUAAUCGCAAAUGUUUUUAUUUUAUUAAUCGUAUAUCUACGUGUCCUUUCGUCCUCCUCUCGCACGUCUUGUCACCCCGCUGCCGCAGACGGCUUAGAGCGCAAGCUUGAGCAGCGCGUGGGGCCGUUCUUUUGAUCAAACGGUCAUGAGCCCAUUCCAGCGCAACCGCGCAGGUUCCCGCGCAAGCUUCCCGUCCGACUCGGUGAAAUCCCCCAAAAUGCCAAUGCUUACCGGCCUACUAUAAAAAACAUCACGGCCGGCGAGUCCUGCGAGGCAUUUUCCCCUCCCUCCCUGUAGCUUAUCUCAUCUGCUUCUCCCACAAUCGCCAAUGGCACCGGUACGUCGUCGUCGCUCAGCCACUCCGCCGUCAUCAGAGGACAGCUCCAGCUGGGAGGCUACACCGCGGCGGCAGCGCAGUCCCCGGUGUAGUGUAGUGCGCGUGGCGUCCCUGCCGCUGCCCAUCAGCAGAUGUUGCCGACUGCCGUUGCCGCCACCCCACCAUCUACCGCCGUGGCCGCCACACCGCCCUCGAAAGCUAGGGCCAUCUCCCACUCCCCCACCGCGGCCCGAAGGCGGGAGGUGGCCGUCGUGGCCGCAACCCACUACCGGCCACCGUGGCCAUCACCCGCUCCGUCGUCGUGACCCGAAGGCAGGAGGUGGUUGUCGUGGCCGCCACCCCAUUGUCGGCCGCCGUGCUCGCCAGCCCACCGUCGACCACCGGGGUCAUUACCCGCUCCGCCACCGCCGCCCGAAGGCGGGAGGCGGAGGUGGAGGCCCGCACGUGCGUCAGCGACCUUGCGCAUUACAUCAAGUUCCUGCGGGAGGAGGAGGAGCGCCUCGUCGAGCACGCAAAGAGCCUUACCGCCGCCGUGGCCGCAGCACACGCUGCCCAAGAGGCGAGGAAUCAGGAAAUCUACAAGGAGAACCACCACUUCGAGAGGGGUCGUCUGGAGCGGCAGAGGGCGUUCGAGGUGAGCAUCGCUGAAGGUGCAGCAGCGGCAGGCACCGUAUUGCAGUUAUCCAGCUCGUCGGUAGGCUCCUCCUCUGCCUCUUACUGAGGGCGCUCAGCAGAGGAGAUGCUGUGGAAGUAGUACAAAGCCCCUCCGUAGUAGUAGUAUUUAGAGGCUAUUUUGUUUAGUUCAUCUGACUAUAGAUGUGGUGGAACUGUACAACGUACUUAAAAUUGGCUAGUAUAUAUAGUUGAACUAGCUAUUUCACUACGUGGUUGGCAACAAUUGGGGAAAAGUUUGGUCGGUUCAGCUAUCGAGUUGAACUGUUUGUAUAAAGAACGACUGCUUAAUCUAUGAAUGAAAUCUAUGCUUAAUUACUGAAUUUUAGUUGCAAAAAUUAGAUAGUGCUAGUGAUUUUUAGCUGCAUAUUUUGACAAAUCGCAGUGUUACAAGGUUGACAAAUGGCAAUGUUACUAGAUCAACAAAUGUCAAUCUUUUUAGUUUGACAAAUGGCAAUAUACCCAAUAUGACAGAUGCAAAUCUUACCAAAUUGUCUGUGCGUGGUUGCACAUGGGUCAUCCAAAACAACUGUUUGUGCUGAAGGGAUGUACAAAUCCUGCUCGGCACAUUUUCUCUUGGUUUAGCACCGAAGUCUGGCUUUAUAUACCGUAUUCAAUCUGAACCGUUUGUGUUGAAGAUAUGCACAAAUCCUGCGCUGCGAAUUUUCCCUUGACUUACUGCGGAAGACCAUAGCUCUCACUUUGCAUACGGGUGUUCUAUCCAAAAUGUUUGCGAUCAAGAGCUGCACAAAUCUUGCUCGUCACAUUUUCCCUUGGCUUCCUGGGGAAGCUAUCGGUUGCAUACGGGUGUUCGAACUAAGACGUUUGCGAUGAAUGUUUUAUAUUUAAAAACCAUUGACGUUUUUUCUAAAAGAAAAUCGUUUGAUAAGUCUGUACGUUAAGAGAGAAAAACGCAAGUUCGUUCAAACCAUAUCUUUCAUUCGGUCACAUUGCGAAUUUAUAUUCAUAUGAUCGAGAUACAAUAAUAAACCCAAAAAAACUAUUUCCGGCGGCGGCGGAGGCGGCGUGCCGCGCCGGCGUUGUCAUUGUCGUCCUCUGGGACGCCGUUGUUGAAGUCUUCAAGGUAGCACAGAAUGUUCUUCACUUGGAAAUCAAACAUCAUAUCGUUGCGCGAUCGACGGGCGAGGCGCGGGAGGACGGCAACUGGCGGCGCUGCAAGGUAGCGGUCGAUGGCGGCAUCCCAUGCCACUGAGGGGGGGCGCGCACGGGCACGGGCGCGGCGGGUGCAGGAAAAUGCACGGGGACCGGCGCCUCGGUGGGUGCAGGGGCGCGCACGGGCACGGGCGUUGGCGCUGGCAUGUACACGAGCUCACGCGGGUCCAUGGAGACCUCGCUGACGCCCGCGGCUUCCAGCUCUGCGAUAGUGCUCGGCGACUAGCCCGUCAAUGCUACGGGGAUGGUCGCAGGUGCGGGCGCGGGGAUGGGAGCUGGGACGGGCGCGGGGGCAGCAACCGCCACGGCUAGCUCGUUCAGGGCCAUGUCCAUGAGGCCCCAUUCCUCCUUAUUUUCUAACUCCUGUGGUUCAGAGUCGACUUCACCAAACUUGAAGAGUAGUGGUAGAUGAUCCUUCCGCGGCAUGGCGUUGGUGGAGGUCUGCGGGAGGGAGGGGAAUGGGAGGCGAACAGUAAGGCCGCUCGUAUUAAACAGUGGCUCGGGCACCCUUAAUGGAGAGGAUGCGAGUAAGGCAGGCGGCCAUGGAAGUCAAAGGGCUCGCUUCCCAGUGAGCCUACGCAGCGUACAGCUUGCACGCUUCCCGGUGAGCCUGCGCAGCGUACAGCUUGCACGCUUCCCGGUGAGCCUGCACAUUGGAGGACAGCUUGCAUGCUUCUCGGUGAGCAUGCGCACCGGACUGUGCUCGCACGCCUCCCGUUCAGUCAAGCAACUGUCUGCAUGACACCUCCUAUAGCCAUUAAAAGAGAGACACGUGGUGUCACGUGAAUGGUUAACAGAACGCACAUGAUUUAAAUUAUACAAACAUUUGUGACAUUAAAGUGCCAGCUAUUUGUUUCAAAAUGCCUUUGUUGGUUGUUAUUCGAGUGCGCCUUCUCUCAAAAUGGACAUGAAAAACACCACGGCAUGUCGGGUGCCAUUCCAUGAUAGCAUGCCAAGUUUCAUGAAUUUCGGACGAGUUUUGGAUUUACUAAAAUUUAAAAAUAAAGUAUCUCAACAUUUUGCCGGCAAUCAACAGUGCCUUGGUGUUUGAAAUUCAUUUCCAUUUCUUGCAUGGGACCUAAGCAUGCACCUAAGGACACACAUUUGUAAUGUCAACCCAUUUUUCUACACUGGAGCAUGUGCAUGUAGUUCAAAUUUGAAUUAUGCACAUAAAAUGCCUAGAAAACCCAGUUAAUGUAUAAAAAUGUCCAAGCGAACCCUGAAAAAUCCCAAAUAUUGACACAACACUUCUGUCUUCUAUGUUGACACUAGAAAUUUUUUGAAAGCAAGAAGAGGCAACGGAUAUUGUUUCGUCCCGAAAGGUGGCACGUUCCCUACCAAAACCAUCAGGCUUGUUGUGAGAAGGUCUGGUUUGCGAGAAGCUUAUACCCAAACCUGCCCCAAAUGGGACAAAAAAUUACCACAGCAUGUUGAUGCCGCUCCAUGAUAGCAUGUCAAAUUUCAUGAACUUCUGACGAUUUUUGGAUUUACUAUUAAAAACCAUGUAUCUCAAUGUUUGCAGUCGAGCGGCGGUGGCAAGGUGUUUGACAUUCAUUCUCAUUUCUUGCAUGGGACCUAAGCAUGCAACCAAGGACACAUAUUUACUUUUUCAACAAAUUUACAUGCACUGGAGCAUGCGCCUGUAGUUCAAAUUUGAAUUAUGCACAUAAAAUGCCUAGAAAACCCAGUUAAUGUAUAAAAAUGUCCAAACAAACCCCGAAAAAUCCCAAAAAUUGACACAACUCUCAUGUCAUUCUAUGUUGACACUAGAAAAAAAUUGAAAGCAAGAAGAGGCAACGGAUAUCGUUUCGUCCACAAAGGUGGCACGUUCCCUACCAAAACCAUCAGGCUUGUUCUAAGAAGCUCUGGUUUGCGAGAAGUUUAUACCCAAACCAGCCCCAAAUGGGACAAUAUUUUUACCACGACAUGUUGAUGUCGUUCCAUGCUAGCAUGUCAAGUUUCAUAAAUUUCAGACGCAUUUUCGAUUUACUAGAAUUUAAAAACCAUGUAUCUCAAUGUUAGCGGCCGAGCGACAGUGGCGAGGUGUCUGACAUUCAUUCUCAUUCUUGCAUGGGACUUAAGCAUGCAACCAAGGACACACAUUUCAAUUUUUAACCCAUUUAUAUGCACUAGAGCAUGUGCAUGUAGUUCAAAUUUGAAUUAUGCACAUAAAUGCAUAGAAAACUCAGUUAAUGUAUAAAAAUGUCCAAGCGAACCCCAAAAAUCCCAAAAAUUGACACGACACUCCUGUUGUUCUAUGUUGACACGAGAAAAAAAAUUAAAGUAAGAAGAGGCAACAGAUAUUGUUUCGUCCCCCAAGGUGGCACGUUCCCUACCGAAACCAUCAGGCUUGUUGUGAGAGAAGCUCUGGUUUGCGAGAAGCUUAUACCCAAACCUGCCCCAAAUGGGACAAUAUUUUUACCACGGCAUGUCGAUGCCGUUCCAUGAUAUCAUGUCAAGUUUCUUGAAUUUCAGACGAGUUUUCGAUUUACUAGAAUUUUAAAACCAUGUAUCUCAAUGUUAGCGGCCGAGCGACAGUGUCAAGGUGUUUGACAUUCAUUCUCAUUUCUUGCAUGUGACCUAAGCUUGCAAACGGGGACACACAUUUGAUUUUUCAACCCAUUUUUAUGCACUGGAGCAUGUGCAUGUAGUUCAAUUUUGAAUUAUGCACAUAAAUGCCUAGAAAACUCAGUGUCCAAACGAUCCUCGAAAAAUUCCAAAAUUUAACAUGACACUCCUGUUGUUCUAUGUUGACACCAGGAAAAAAAUGAAAGCAAGAAUGGGCGACGAAUAUCGUUUUGUCCACAAAGGUGACACGUUUCCCUAACGGAACCAUGAGGCUUCUUGUGAGAAGCUCUGGUUUGUGAGAAGCUUAUACCAUAACCUGCCCCAAAUGGGACAAUAUUUUUUACCCCAACAUGUUGAUGCCAUUCCAUGAUAGCAUGCCAAGGUUCAUGAAUUUCAGCGGGUUUUGGAUUUACUAGAAUUACAACAGCAAGUACCUCAAUGUUUGCCGGAGAGCCACGGUGAGGUGGUGUUCAAAAUUCAUCCCCAUUUCUUGCAUGGGACAUAAGCAUAAACCCAUGGACACAUAUAUGAUUUUACAACCUAUGUUGGUGCACCGGAGCAUGUGCAUGUAGUUUAAUUUUGAAUUGGGCACCUGAAAUGGCUAGAAAACCAAGUUAAUGUAUAAAAAUGUCCAAACGAACCCUGAAUAAUUCCAUUUUUUUAUGAUACACCUAUAGUUGCAUGUUCACUGCAGAUAAAAGUUCUAGCAAUUCAAACACCCUCCAUUGCCGCUGUGACCCCAUUAUGUAAUUCAAAUCACGAUGAAAAAUCAAGUAGAUCACACACAGUUUAUUAUCACAAACCGUGUGAGAUGCAAUACAAAAUAUCUUGGAGCACCGUCGGAUUAUAGUACGCCUAUGGCUUACGUGAGAAGGUGCAUCGGCUACAGUCCACACCCGGCGUGUCAAGCACACUAGCUCGCUCCCCAAAUAUCAUUUCACUGUUCAAUCAUCGCUGGUGAAAGAUGGGGACGUGGACCCGCGUCGUGAGGGCAACUUCGGCGGCCCACUCGGCGAGAGCGCGGCCGCAGCCGCCAUGUGCGUGCUAACAAGGUGCAUGAGCGCAGCCGUAAUCUGUGACCGGGCGGCCAAGGCAGCCCAAACGGCCGCUGUUGCUUCUCAGGUGGCAGCAGCAACAUCUGCCUCGGGGAUAGCAACUGGCGAGAGCAGCACAACAGUUGUCCGUUCCGCAGUGGCGGCCUUGGCCCUGAUGGAGGCCGCCCAUGACCAUGUCGAGGCCGCCCACGCCCAACUCGUGGCGGUCACCACACAAAUCGAACGAAGCUUCUCCGACAACGGUCGACAACCCAUGACCGAAGAGUUGGCAAUCGCCGAGAGCGUUUGAGCAUCCGUCCGUUCCUCCGCCGCAUACCUUGCCACGACGGAGCCGGUCCAAGCCCAGAUCGCGGCCGCCCACGCCCAGCUCGUGGAGGCCUUUUCCAAAGAGAUGGCGGACGCGGAUGGCGAGAUGCUUGCCGAGUAUGGUGCAAUGGAUGCCAUGGAGCCCCUUCCCCAGGAGACCGUUGGGCGCGAGCUGGACAUGGAGGAGGCGGCAGAGAUCGACAAGCACCAGCCAUAGUAGUACUCUUUGUUUUUUUAAUUAAUUAAGAGCGCCGGUCUUUAAUUUGUUAGAGUAAUGUUUAGGUCAGCUAGCUCUGUUAAAUUGUUGAACUUGCUUGAUUAAGAAGUGUGGGUGUGCUGUAGUCUCCUUUGUGUACCCAAAUUAUGCAAUGACAUGGAUGACCACUGUAACCAGGGAAAUUCGAACCAAAAAUUUUGACGUACAAACUCAUCACACACGGGUUAAGCUGUAUGAAUCGUUUGUGAUGUUCACAUAUUGUACACAGUGCUGAAUAAGGGACCGUGUCUGAUGACACUUUGCGCGCCAUUUUUUUCGCUGCACCGAUUCAAAAAUUUUGGAUUCCGCGGAAAUAUCUACCUCCCCGCCCCCUCCCCAUUACCAAAAGCCACAUUUCCCAUGUUUCCGCCUUCCUUUCCAAGUUGAAACCUUCACUCCUUGCUUGCAGCGCCGCCUCCUCGCCGACGACCCUCAUUCACACUGCUCGGCCUCGUCUAUCCAGGCAGGUAAUCCACACCCAACCCCCAUCCCUCUCCUCCUUCCACAUCCCACAUGCCCCGACCGCCGACGCGACACCUUCCACCCAAAUCACUGACCCUCCCCCAAAUAAGCAUCGCUCUAAGCCAUGGUGCAUGCAGUAUAGCCAGGAGCUCAAGUUGCAUUUGGCAGCGGAGAAGCAAAUCGCGGUCGCACGCGUGGAUGAGGUCGUGAUGGCUGCCAUUCGUGCUGACCCCCAGAUCUUGGAGGAGAACCUCGCCGUCGAGGCCACCGUCAGCGCCUCGCGCGUCGACGCCGCGAUGCGGUUGGUUGCUUUAAACGACAGUUCAUGGCGUUUUCUCGAGGCCACCCUCGGUGCCUUCGACGAAGACUAUACGGUGUUUUCUCGGCGUGCACGUGCUUACCUCAACUCGAGAGCUAGUAGGUUGGUGCCCCGAGCGGCUCAGGCAACUCACCACUACAACGAGGGCACCCACGAUGUGGAGGCCUCGCCCUCUUCCAUGUCCAAGGAGCCAAUCAUCAUCGAUAUCUCCGACGAUGAGGAGUAGCUUGUCUUAUUAGCUCACUAUAAGGACCCAUGUUUAGUUUGCUAGUGAUACGUCUCCAACGUAUCUAUAAUUUUUUAUUGUUCCAUGCUAUUAUAUAUUCUGUUUUGGAUGUUUAAUGGGCUUAUUUAUACACUUUUAUAUUAUUUUUGGGACUAACCUAUUAACCCAAGGCCCAGUGCAAAUUGCUGUUUUUUUGCCUAUUUCAGUGUUUCGCAGAAAAGGAAUAUCAAACGGAGUCCAAACGGAAUGAAACCUUCGGGAGAGUUAUUUUUGGAACAAACGUGAUCCAGAGGACUUGCAGUGGACGUCAAGAAAUCAUCGAGGAGGCCAUGAGGCAGGGGGCGCGCCUACCCCCCCCCCCCCUAGGCGUGCCCUCCACCCUCGUGGGCCCCUCAUGGCUCCACCGACCUACUUCUUCCUCCUAUAUAUACCUACGUACCCCGAAACCAUCGAGGAGCACCACGAAAACCUAAUUCCACCGCCGCAACCUUCUGAACCCGUGAGAUCCCAUCUUGGGGCCUUUUCCGGCGCUCUGCCGGAGGGGCAUCGAUCACGGAGGGCUUCUACAUCAACACCAUAGCCUCUCCGAUGAUGUGUGAGUAGUUUACCACAGACCUUCGGGUCCAUAGUUAUUAGCUAGAUGGCUUCUUCUCUCUCUUUGGAUCUCAAUACAAAGUUCUCCUCGAUCUUCUUGGAGAUCUAUUUGAUGUAACUCUUUUUGCGGUGUGUUUGUCGAGAUUCGAUGAAUUGUGGGUUUAUGAUCAAGAUUAUCUAUGAACAAUAUUUGAAUCUUCUCUGAAUUCUUUUAUGUAUGAUUGGUUAUCUUCACAAGUAUCUUCGAAUUAUCAGUUUGGUUUGGCCUACUAGAUUGAUCUUUCCUGCAAUGGGAGAAGUGCUUAGCUUUGGGUUAAAUCAUGCGGUGCUUGAUCCCAGUGACAGUAGGGGAAACGACACGUAUUGUAUUGUUGCCAUCGAGGAUAAAAAGAUGGGGUUUAUAUCAUAUUGCUUGAGUUUAUCCCUCUACAUCAUGUCAUCUUACCUAAUGCGUUACUCUGUUCUUAUGAACUUAAUACUCUAGAUGCAUGCUGGAUAGCGGUCGAUGUGUGGAGUAAUAGUAGUAGAUGCAGGCAGGAGUCGGUCUACUUGUCGCGGGCGUGAUGCCUAUAUACAUGAUCAUGCCUAGAUAUUCUCAUAAUUAUGCACUUUUCUAUCAAUUGCUCGACAGUAAUUUGUUCACCCACCGUAAUACUUAUGCUAUCUUGAGAGAAGCCACUAGUGAAACCUAUGGCCCCCGGGUCUAUCUUCCAUCAUAUUAAUCUCCCGUCAACAAGCUAUUUCUGUCGCCAUUUAUUUUGCUUUUCUUUACUUUUAGUCUUUGUCAUAAAAAUACAAAAAAUACUAUCUUAUCAUCUCUAUCAGAUCUCACUUUUGCAAGUGGCCGUGAAGGGAUUUACAACCCCUUUAUCGCGUAGGUUGCAAGGUUCUUAUUUGUUUGUGUAGGUACGAGGGACUUGCGUGUGGCCUCCUACUAGAUUUAUACCUUGGUUCUCUAAAACUGAGGGAAAUAGUUACGCUACUUUGCUGCAUCACCCUUUCCUAUUCAAGGGAAAACCAACGCAGUGCUCAAGAGGUAGCAAGAAGGAUUUCUGGCGCCGUUGCCGGGGAGUCUACGCACAAGUCAAGACAUACCAAGUACCCAUCACAAACUCUUAUCCCUCACAUUACAUUAUUUGCCAUUUGCCUCUCGUUUUCCUCUCCCCCACUUCACCAUUGCCGUUUUAUUCGCCCUCUCUUUCCGUUCGCCUCUUUUUCGCUUGCUUCUUGUUUGCUUGUGUGUUGGAUUGCUUGCUUGUCACGAUGGCUCAAGACAAUACUAAAUUGUGUGACUUUGCCAAUACCAACAACAAUGUUUUUCUUAGCACUCCCAUUGCUCCUCUUACCGAUGCUGAAUCUUGUGAAAUUAAUGCUGCUUAGCUGAAUCUUGUCAUGAAAGAUCAAUUUGCCGGCCUUCCUAGUGAAGAUGCCGCUACCCAUCUGAAUAGCUUUGUUGAUUUGUGUGAUAUGCAAAAGAAGAAAGAUGUGGGCAAUGAUAUUGUUAAAUUGAAGCUAUUUCCUUUUUCGCUUAGAGAUCGUGCUAAAACUUGGUUUUCGUCUUUGCCUAAAAAUAGUAUUGAUUUUAGGAAUAAGUGCAAUGAUGCUUUUAUCUCUAAGUAUUUUCCUCCCGCUAAGAUCAUCUCUCUUAGAAACGAUAUUAUGAACUUUAAGCAACUUGAUCAUGAACAUGUUGCACAAGCUUGGGAGAGAAUGAAAUUAAUGAUACGUAAUUGCCCUACACAAGGCUUGAAUUUAUGGAUGAUUAUACAAAAAAUUUAUGCCGGAUUGAACUUUGCUUCUAGAAAUCUUUUAGAUUCGGCCGCGGGAGGCACUUUUAUGGAAAUCACUUUAGGAAAAGCUACUAAACUCCUAGAUAAUAUUAUGGUUAAUUAUUCUCAAUGGCACACUGAAAGAUCUACUAGUAAAAAGGUGCAUGCAAUUGAAGAGAUUAAUGUUUUGAGUGGAAAGAUGGAUGAACUUAUGAAAUUGUUUGCUAAUAAGAGUGUUUCUUCUGAUCCCAAUGAUAUGCCUUUGUCUACUUUGCUUGAGAAUAAUAAUGAAUCUAUGGAUGUGAAUUUUGUUGGUAGGAACAAUUUUGGUAACAACGCUUAUAGAGGAAACUUUAAUCCUAGGCCGUAUCCUAGUAAUUCCUCUAAUAAUUAUGGUAAUUCCUACAACAACUCUUAUGGAAAUUUUAAUAAGAUGCCCUCUGAUUUCGAGACUAGUGUUAAAGAAUUUAUGAUUUCCCAAAAGAAUUUCAAUGCUUUGCUUGAAGAAAAAUUGCCUAAGAUUGAUGAAUUGGCUAGGAAUGUGGAUAGAAUUUCUCUUGAUGUUGAUUCUUUGAAACUUAUAUCUAUUCCACCUAAUCAUGAUAUCAAUGAGUCUCUCAAAGCCAUGAGAAUUUCCAUUGAUGAGUGCAAAGAAAGAACCGCUAGGAUGCAUGCUAAAAAAGAUUGUUAUGUAAAAGCGUGUUCUUCUAGUUUUCAUGAUAAUAAGGAUGAAGAUCUAAAAGUGAUUGAUGUGUCCCCUAUUAAAUCUUUGUUUUGCAAUAUGAAUCUUGAUAAUGAUGGGACUGGAGAUGAGUCAACUUUAGUUAAAAGGCGUCCCAAUGAUUCGGAGUUUUUACAUCUGGAUGCAAAAUUUGGUAAAAGUGGGAUGGAAGAGGUCAAAACUUUAGAUAGCAAUGAACCCACUAUUUUUUAUUUCAAGGAAUUUAAUUAAAUAAUUGUUCUUUUAUAGGUUGUAUUUCCUUGUUGCAAUCCAUGCUAAAUUCUCCGCGUGCUUAUAGUCAAAAUAAAGCUUUUACUAAACAUAUCGUUGAUGCUUUAAUGCAAUCUUAUGAAGAAAAGCUUGAAUUGGAAUUUUCUAUCCCUAGAAAACUUUAUGAUGAGUGGGAACCUACUAUUAAAAUUAAAAUUAAGGUUCAUGAAUGCUAUGCUUUGUGUGAUUUGGGUGCUAGUGUUUCCACAAUUCCAUAGAAUUUGUGUGAUUUGCUAGGUUCCCGUGAAUUUGAUGAUUGUUCUUUAAACUUGCACCUUGCGGAUUCCACCAUUAAAAAACCUAUGGGAAGAAUUAAUGAUGUUCUUAUUGUUGCAAAUAGGAAUUAUGUGCCCGUAGAAUUCAUUGUUCUUGAUAUAGAUUGCAAUCCUUCAUGUCCUAUUAUUCUUGGUAGACCUUUCCUUAGAACGAUUGGUGCAAUUAUUGAUAUGAAGGAAGGAAAUAUUAGAUUCCAAUUUCCGUUAAGGAAAGGCAUGGAACACUUUCCUAGAAAGAAAAUCAAAUUACCUUAUGAAUCUAUCAUGAGAGCUACUUAUGGAUUGCCUACCAAAGAUGGCAACACCUAGGUCUAUCCUUGCCUUUAUGCCUAGCUAGGGGCGUUAAACAAUAGCGCUUGUUGGGAGGCAACCCAAUUUUAUUUUAGUUUUUUUCUUUUUGGUUCUGUUUAGGAAUAAAUAAUCCAUCUAGCUUAUUCUUAGACGUGGUUUUGUGUUUUAAUUAGUGUUUGUGCCAAGUAGAACCUUUGGGAAGACUUGGGGAAAGUCUUUGCGAUCUUGCUGUAAAAAACAGAAACUUUAGCGCUCACGAGAUUAGCUUCAACUAUUUACUGGAGAGUGAUAUUUAGUUGAUUAUUUUUUCAGAUGAUUAAUAGAUAAAUUACUCACGUCCAGAAAUUUAUUUUAGAAUUUUUCGAGUUGCAGAAGUUUGCGUUAGUUACAGAUUACUACAGACUGUUCUGUUUUUGACAAAUUCUAUUUUUCGUGUGUUGUUUGCUUAUUUUGAUGAAUCUAUGGCUAGUAAUGGAGUUUAUGAACCAUAGAAAAGUUUGAAUACAGUAGGUUUAACACCAAUAUAAAUAAAGAACGAGUUCAUUACAGUACCUUGAAGUGGUGUUUUGUUUUCUUUCGCUAACGGAGCUCACGAGAUUUUCUGUUAAGUUUUGUGUUGUGAAGUUUUCAAGUUUUGGGUAAAGAUUUGAUGGAUUAUGGAACAAGGAGUGGCAAGAGCCUGAGCUUGGGGAUUCCCAAGGCACCCCAAGGUAAAAUCUAAGGACAACCCAAAAAGCCUAAGCUUGGGGAUGCCCCGGAAGGCAUCCCCUCUUUUGUCUUCGUCCAUCGGUAACUUUACUUGGAGCUAUAUUUUUAUUCACCACAUGAUAUGUGUUUUGCUUGGAGCGUCUUGUAUGAUUUGAGUCUUUUCUUUUUAGUUCACCACAAUCAUCCUUUAUGUACACACCUUUUGAGAGAGACACACAUUAUUCGGAAUUUAUUAGAAUACUCUAUGUGCUUCACUUAUAUCUUUUGAGCUAAACAAUUUUGCUCUAGGGCUUCACUUAUAUCUUUUAGAGCACGGUGGUGGUUAUAUUUUAUAGAAAUUAUUGAUCUCUCGUGCUUCACUUAUAUUAUUUUGAGAGUCCUUUAGAACAGCAUGGUAGUUUACAAAGUGCAUUGAAUAGUAAGAGAAGUUUGAUACUUGAUAGUUGUUUUGAGAUAUAAAGGUGGUAAUAUUAGAGGUGGUAAUAUUAGAGGUGGUAAUAUUAGAGGUGUGCUAGUUGAGUAAUUGUGAAAUUGAGAAAUACUUGUGUUGAAGUUUGCAAGUCCCGUAGCAUGCACGUAUGGUAAACGUUGUGUGACAAAUUUGAAGCAUGAGGUGUUCUUUGAUUGCUUUCCUUAUGAGUGGCGGUCGGGGACGAGCGAUGGUCUUUUCCUACCAAUCUAUCCCCCUAGGAGCAUGCGCGUAGUGCUUGUUUUGAUGACUUGUAGAUUUUUGCAAUAAGUAUGUGAGUUCUUUUUGACUAAUGUUGAGUCCAUGGAUUAUACGCACUCUCACCCUUCCAUCAUUGCUAGCCUCUUCGGUACCGCGCAUUGCCCUUUCUCACCUUGAGAGUUGGUGCAAACUUCGCCGGUGCAUCCAAACCCCGUGAUAUGAUACGCUCUAUCACACAUAAACCUCCUUAUAUCUUCCUCAAAACAGCCACCAUACCUACCUAUUAUGGCAUUUCCAUAGCCAUUCUGAGAUAUAUUGUCAUGCAACUUUCCACCGUUCCGUUUAUUAUGACACGCAUCAUCAUUGUCAUAUUGCUUUGCAUGAUCAUGUAGUUGACAUCGUAUUUGUGGCAAAGCCACCUUUAUAAUUCUUUCAUACAUGUUACUCUUGAUUCAUUGAAUAUCCCGGUACACCGCCGGAGGCAUUCACAUAGAGUCAUAUUUUGUUCUUAGUAUUGAGUUGUAAUCUUUGAGUUGUAAGUAAAUAAAAGUGUGAUGAUCAUCAUUAUUAGAGCAUUGUCCCAAGUGAGGAAAGGAUGAUGGAGACUAUGAUUCCCCCACAAGUCGGGAUGAGACCCCGGACGAAAAAAAAGAGGCCAAAAAAAAGAGAAGAAGGCCCAAAUAAAAAAAGAGAGAAAAAGAGAGCAGGGACAAUGUUACUAUCCUUUUACCACACUCGUGCUUCAAAAUAGCACCAUGAUCUUCAUGAUAGAGAGUCUCCUAUUUUGUCACUUUCAUAUACUAGUGGGAAUUUUACAUUAUAGAACUUGGCUUGUAUAUUCCAACAAUGGGCUUCCUCAAAUGCCCUAGGUCUUCGUGAGCAAGCAAAUUGGAUGCACACCCACUUAGUUUAUUUUGUUGAGCUUUCAUAUACUCAUAGCUCUAGUGCAUCCGUUGCAUGGCAAUCCCUACUCCUUGCAUUGACAUCAAUCGAUGGGCAUCUCCAUAGCCCGUUGAUUAGCCGCGUCAAUGUGAGACUUUCUCCUUUUUUGUCUUCUCACACAACCUCAAUCAUUAUAUUCUAUUCCACCCAUAAUGGUAUGUCCAUGGCUCGCGCUCAUAUGUUGCGUAAAAGUUGAAAGAGUUUGAAAAGGCUAAGUAUGAAACAAUUGCUUGGCUUGUCAUCGGGGUUGUGCAUGAUGAGAGCAUUUUGUGUGACGAAAAUGAAGCAUAGCCAAACUAUAUGAUUUUGUAGGGAUAAGCUUUCUUUGGCUGUGUUAUUUUGAUAAGACAUAAUUGCUUGGUUAGCAUGCUUAAAGUAUUAUUAUUUUUAUGUCAACAUUAAACUUUUAUCUUGAAUCUUUCGGAUUUGAACAUUCAUGCCACAAUAAAGAAAAUUACAUUGAGAAAUAUGCUAGGUAGCAUUCCACAUCAAAAAUUCUGUUUUUAUCAUUUACCUACUCGAGGACGAGCAGGAAUUAAGCUUGGGGAUGCUUGAUACGUCUCCAACGUAUCUAUAAUUUUUUAUUGUUCCAUGCUAUUAUAUAUUCUGUUUUGGAUGUUUAAUGGGCUUAUUUAUACACUUUUAUAUUAUUUUUGGGACUAACCUAUUAACCCAAGGCCCAGUGCAAAUUGUUGUUUUUUUUGCCUAUUUCAGUGUUUCGCAGAAAAGGAAUAUCAAACGGAGUCCAAAUGGAAUGAAACCUUCGGGAGAGUUAUUUUUGGAACAAACGUGAUCCGAAGGACUUGGAGUGGAUGUCAAGAAAUCACCGAGGAGGCCACGAGGCAGGGGGGCGCGCCUACCCCCCUGAGCGCGCCCUCCACCCUCGUGGGCCCCUCGUGGCUCCACCGACCUACUUCUUCCUCCUAUAUAUACCUACGUACCCCGAAACCAUCGAGGAGCACCCCGAAAACCUAAUUCCACCGCCACAACCUUCUGUACCCGUGAGAUCCCAUCUUGGGGCCUUUUCCGGCGCUCUGCCGGAGGGGGCAUCGAUCACGGAGGGCUUCUACAUCAACACCAUAGCCUCUCCGAUGAUGUGUGAGUAGUUUACCACAGACCUUCGGCUCCAUAGUUAUUAGCUAGAUGGCUUCUUCUCUCUCUUUGGAUCUCAAUACAAAGUUCUCCUCGAUCUUCUUGGAGAUCUAUUUGAUGUAACUCUUUUUGCGGUGGGUUUGUCGAGAUCCGAUGAAUUGUGGGUUUAUGAUCAAGAUUAUCUAUGAACAAUAUUUGAAUCUUCUCUGAAUUCUUUUAUGUAUGAUUGGUUAUCUUUGCAAGUCUCUUCGAAUUAUCAGUUUGGUUUGGCCUACUAGAUUGAUCUUUCUUGCAAUGGGAGAAGUGCUUAGCUUUGGGUUAAAUCAUGCGGUGCUCGAUCCCAGUGGCAGUAGGGGAAACGACACGUAUUGUAUUGUUGCCAUCGAGGAUAAAAAGAUGGGGGUUAUAUCAUAUUGCUUGAGUUUAUCCCUCUACAUCAUGUCAUCUUAUCUAAUGCGUUACUCUGUUCUUAUGAACUUAAUACUCUAGAUGCAUGCUGGAUAGCGGUCGAUGUGUGGAGUAAUAGUAGUAGAUGCAGGCAGGAGUCGGUCUACUUGUCACGGGCGUGAUGCCUAUAUACAUGAUCAUGCCUAGAUAUUCUCAUAAUUAUGCACUUUUCUAUCAAUUACUCGACAGUAAUUUGUUCACCCACCGUAAUACUUAUGUUAUCUUGAGAGAAUCCACUAGUGAAACCUAUGGCCCCCGGGUCUAUCUUCCAUCAUAUUAAUCUCCCGUAGACAAGCUAUUUCUGUCGACGUUUAUUUUUCUUUCUUUACUUUUAGUCUUUAUAAUAAAAAUACCAAAAAUAUUAUCUUAUCAUCUCUAUCAGAUCUCACUUUUGCAAGUGUCCAUGAAGGGAUUGACAACCCCUUUAUCGCGUUGGUUGCAAGGUUCUUAUUUGUUUGUGUAGGUACGAGGGACUUGCGUGUGGCCUCCUACUGGAUUGAUACCUUGGUUCUCAAAAACUGAGGGAAAUACUUACGCUACUUUGCUGCAUCACCCUUUCCUCUUCAAGGGAAAACCAACGCAGUGCUCAAGAGGUAGCAGCUAGCUAUGCCGGUUAAGCAUGCUCGGUUUACCCGUUGCAUGUGCUGCUCCUGCCUUUCCUUAACAAAUUCUAGUGAAUUGUGCUAUCUACUUUUACCAUGCAAUAUGUUGCUCUAGUGUAUAUGUUCUAUAUGUCGUGCAAUGUGGUGCUCACUUAUUAAUUGUUUGGUUCAUUAGUUGUCGUCUUCAGUUAACUGUUUGGUUCAAUUCUGCAAAUGUGAUGUUCAAUUCUUCAGGCUGCAAUUUAGUAUUGUCUUCCAUGUGAGAAAUAAAUUGAAUUUAUCUUUACAAAAUACAUGAGAAACAAAUACAAUUGCUAUAUUUCCAAGUUGCCAAGCAUGCUUGGUUUGGUUAACUGUCUGAUCUUCUAGUAUGUUAUACAUUGUGCAAUGUGGUGCUCGGUUAAUUUUUUUUCAUUUGUUGUGGUGUUUAGUUAACUGUUUGGUUCAAUUCUGCAAUGCGAUGUUCAAUUGUUGUGGGUGCAUUCUGUUAUUGUAUGCCAUGUGAGAAAUAAAUCAAAUUUGGCUGUACUAAAUACAUGAGAAACAAAUACAAUUGCUAUAUUUCCAAGUUGUUAAGCAUGCUUGGUUUGGUCAACUGUCUGAUCUUCUAUGAGGAGUAUGUUAUAUUGUGCAAUGUAGUGCUCAGUUAAUGUUUGGUUCAUUUGUUGUGGUGUUUAGUUAACUACUUGGUUCAAUUCUGCAAUGCGAUGUCCAAUUGUCGUGGGUAGAAUUUUGCGUUGUUGUGCAUGUGAGGAAUAAAUCGAAUUUGGCUGCACUUAAUCUCUACUCUUAUAAAAAAACCGAGUUGGUGAUGAUGGUGUGCCUGCCAUCUUGUAAUAUAGACCUUCCGAUCUAUAUCUGACGGAUAGAAAGCAAACUAUGACAAUUUUACAAAAGAUACCCGCACCUCUCUCCACAUUUACAGAUAAGGCCUUGCCUCGUUCAUCCUUAUCUCCCACAACCUCAUUGCUGGGCAAUUAAAAAAGGAAGUCUCUAGAACAAUCUAGCAUGGUGGCCGCUGCCGCCUGCCGGCACCGUCCAUCCCCAUGCCUCCGCCCAGUCCGACCACCAGUCACCACCACGCUCUACUCCUCCUCACCUUAUCUCUCAUCUUUCAUUUUUUCGAUGAAAUUCUCGAGAUACCAUUUUUCCGAUAAAAUUCUCGAGAUAUCAUUAGUUUUUACACAUGGGAUUACUCCUGCAUGAGUCAAUCACAACAGGUGUUUUGUAAAAAAUGCAUCUUGAUUUUUCGUGCAAUGCACGGGCAUCUUGCUAGUACAUGAGAAACAUAUACAACUACUAUAUUUCCUAGUUCUUAAUCAUGCUUGGUUUGGAUAAAUGGGUUUUCCAUGUGGCUUGAAUUAAUCUGAUGAAUCUGCAAUGUGCUUAUUUUUCAUCAACAUAUUUUACUGAUAGCAUGUGAACCCUCACUUAAAUUGAUGACUAACUACCUUAUAUGUUGCAGGGAAACAAUGGGAAGCACUGAGGUUUACAAUCGAGGUUUGCACAUGCAUGGUCCUUUGUCUAAUAGCACAUUAUUGUGCAAUUGCAAGAACCAUUCUAAUAUUUAGGUUUUUAACAAUUUGGUCUUGCACAUGUAGGUCCUGCUGUCAGAGGUUUUGACCCACUGUUCGACCCUUUUUGCAUAUGGGGAAAUGAGUUGUGCAUGAAUAUCAGUCAAGUCAAGAAACUCAGAAAGGUUUUUAGGACAAAGAAAUUAGCGACAAAAAACAACAAGAUCUUUGUGUGCACAAUGAAGAAGACGUCAGUUCACUACAAGAUGGUACUAACUAUUAUACCUUACCUUUUUUAUUCCUUUGCCCCAUUUCCAAUAGAGAAGAUAUUUAUGCACAUCCUUAUUUUCAGGCCUUUCCAAAGCAGUUCACUGAUGAUUACCUCUCAAACCACCUGUAUGGUCAGGAGGCGAGGAAGGUUUUCAUACAACACCCACAAUUCAAUAUUGAAGUGUUCCUGAAGAGGAUGAAGGAUGGAUGGUAAAUCAUCCACAUGCACUGGCCUAAAGUUGCAAAGACCUUAAACAUCAAUGAAGGCUCAAUAUUCGGCUUUCGCUUCAGCAGUUUUCCAGAUAAGAUGCAUCUAUCUAUGUACCGUCUAUGAUGCUAAUUUUGAAAGGUUAUGGAUGUUGCAUGUGAAACUUGGUGCUGGUGCAGUUGUGUAAUGGGGUAGCUGAGUGCUGAAGCUAAAGGAUGUUGUACUCUGAUGUAUUUCAAUUAUGAAAUCCUGCUUCCUUCAUAUGGAAAUCAAAUAUAUUGUGUGCUUAAUAUGAAAUGUCAAUUACAUUAAUAAAUGGAUUAUUAAUAAUAGGGCAAUUAGCGUGCUAAAGGCCAAUUAGCCUGCUAAUUGGGUUUUUCUAUUGCAAACUAUUAUUGAGAAAACACCGUGGGCGAUGACCUCAGGCAACGCACACAGUUUCUAGGAAUAAACCGUGUUGGAUCAAUGAACAAUCACACAUGACAUCCUCAUGAAAUUUUUUUGCAUUAGGCCACCUUGCGCAAACAUUUACCACAUAAAAAGUGUGUGUGAUGGACAGCUUUUGCCACACAGUUUCUUCUACGCACCAUGUGUGAUGCAUUCCAUAACGCAAACGAUAAAAUUGUUAAUAUCGUGUGCAAUGGCAACGCCAUCACAAAUGAUUUAAUGGGGAAAAUUGUGUGUGAUGUACCUGCGAAUGGAAACGUUUUCCUUGGAGUGACUGUGUGGGAUGUAUAUACGAACGGAAACAUACUUCUUUGACUAACUGUGUGGGAUGUACAUCCUAACGGAAACGUGUUCCUUGGAUUGACUGUGUGGAAUGUACAUAUGAAUGGAAACGUUUGACGGGGACUGACUGUGUGGAAUGUACUUACGACCGAAAAUGAUUUGGCAUGUAUAAUUGUAUUUUUUUAGCACAACUGCAAGUAUAACCGUAUUUGAUCGCUCGCCGGUCACACACGGCCUCAUUUUGCCGAGCGUGUGUGCCAGGAGGGCAUAUCCCUAUCGGUUUCUGGGUCGUGUGGGAAGGACCCCCCUAUCGCAGUCACUCACUUGGCGACGGUUCGAAACGCCGUCACGGAAAGGGGUUAAAAACCGUUUGCAUAGCACCUCGUUGUACUAGUGUUGAUAGCGGCCACACAUGCAAACACUCAACAUAAUAUCAGGUCUGGAUGCACAUAGGUAAAGAAGAGAACCAAUCAUCGAAUGAUAAGCCUUCUGAUCGUAAUCUUUACCGUACGCAUAUGCAUCCAUCUUACAAUUCGUGGGCAUUGGAGUUUUGUAGCCCUUCAUUUUGUAAUCUUGCAUUUUGAACGUGUUUCAGACACUCUCUUAGAUAUUUCUCCCGAGAUAUAGAAAUUCCAUUUGCCUGUUGACGUAUUUGCAGGCCGAGAAAGAACUUAAGUUCACCCAUCAUUGACAUUUGAUACUUUUCGGACAUCAUUUUUCCGAACUCUAGGCUGCAAGCAUUGUUAGUACAACCGAAGAUAAUAUCAUCCACAUAAAUUUGACAUAUGAAUAGGUCAUUAUCAACAGCACGAGUGAAAAGUGUGGGAUCGGUGGAUCCUGGCUUGAACCCUUUUUCGAGCAGAAACUUCUUCAAGAUGUCAUACCAUGCUCUAGGGGCUUGCUUCAGCCCAUAAAGAGCCUUUUUCAACCUGAAAACUUUGUUAGGAAACUCAGGGUGUUCAAAGCCAGGUGGUUGUCUAACAUAAACUUCCUCAUCAAUUUCACCAUUGAGGAAAGCACUUUUCACAUCCAUUUGAUAAAGCAAGAUAUCAUUGUAAUUUGCAUAAGCAAGAAGAAUAUGAAUUGCCUCAAGGCAUGCAACAGGAGCAUAAGUUUCACCAAAAUCAAUACCUUCUACCUGUGUAUACCUUGAGCGACAAGAUGUGCUUUGUUUCUCACAACAAUGCCAUUUUCAUCUUGCUUGUUCCGGAAUAUCCAUUUGGUGCCGAUGAUAUUAUGCUUCUUAGGAUUCGGCUUUUCGACCAAUUCCCAAACAUCAUUCAAUUCGAAUUGCACCAACUCCUCUUGCAUAGCAUUCAUCCAAUCUGGAUCAUUCAUGGCUUCCUCAUACUUGGUAGGUUCUGCCAAUGAAACAAAGGAGAAACUGCCACAGUAGUUAGCCAAAUGAGUGCGUGAACAAGUUGUGGGUCAAUGCUACCUCUUGAGCACUGCGUUGGUUUUCCCUUGAAGAGGAAAGGGUGAUGCAGUAAAGUAGCGUAAGUAUUUCCCUCAGUUUUUGAGAACCAAGGUAUCAAUCCAGUAGGAUAUCACGCUCGAGUCCCAGGCACCUACACAAACAAAUAAGAACCUCGCAACCAACGCGAUAAAGGGGUUGUCAAUCCCUUCACGGUCACUUACGAGAGUUAGAUCUGAUAGAUAUGAUAAGAUAAUAUUUUUGGUAUUUUUAUGAUAAAGAUGCAAAGUAAAAUAAACGGCAAUAAAAAUAGCUAAGUGUUGGAAGAUUAAUAUGAUGGAAAAUAGACCAGGGGGCCAUAGGUUUCACUAGUGGCUUCUCUCAAGAGCAUAAGUAUUACGGUGGGUAAACGAAUUACUGUCGAGCAAUUGAUAGAAUUGAGCAUAGUUAUGAGAAUAUCUAGGUAUGAUCAUGUAUAUAGGCAUCACGUCCACGACAAGUAGAUCGAAACGAUUCUGCAUCUACUACUAUUACUCCACACAUCGACCGCUAUCCAGCAUGCAUCUAGAUAAGUUCAUAAGAACAGAGUAAUGCUUUAAGUAAGAUGACAUGAUGUAGAGGGAUAAACUCAUGCAAUAUGAUAUAAACCCCGUCUUUUUAUCCUCGACGGCAACAAUACAAUACGUGCCUUGCUGCCCCUGCUGUCACUAGGAAAGGACACCGCAAGAUUGAACCCAAAGCUAAGCACUUCUCCCAUUGCAAGAAAGAUCAAUCUAGUAGGCCAAACCAAACUGAUAAUUCGAAGAGACUUGCAAAGAUAACCAAUCAUACAUAAAAGAAUUCAGAGGAGAUUCAAAUAUUGUUCAUAGAUAAUCUUGAUUAUAAACCCACAAUUCAUCGGAUCUCGACAAACACACCACAAAAGAAGAUUACAUCGAAUAGAUCUCCAAGAGAAUCGAGGAGAACUUUGUAUUGAGAUCCAAAGAGAGAGAAGAAGCCAUCUAGCUAAUAACUAUGGACCCGAAGGUCUGAGGUAAACUACUCACACAUCAUCGGAGAGGCUAUGGUGUUGAUGUAGAAGCCCUCCGUGAUCAAUGCCCCCUCCGACGGAGCACCGGAAAAGGCCCCAAGAUGGGAUCUCACGGGUACAGAAGGUUGCGGCGGUGGAAAUAGGGUUUUUGGCUCCGUUCCUGAUGGUUUGGGGGUACGUAGGUAUAUAUAGGAGGAAGAAGUAGGUCGGUGGAGCUACGAGGGGCCCACGAGGGUGGAGGGCACGCCCAGGGGGGUAGGCGCACCCCCUGCCUCGUGGCCUCCUCGUUCAUUUCUUGACGUCCACUCCAAGUCCUCUGGAUCACGUUUGUUCCAAAAAUCACGUUCCCGAAGGUUUCAUUCCGUUUGGACUCCGUUUGAUAUUCCUUUUCUGCGAAACACUGAAAUAGGCAAAAAACAACAAUUUGAGAUGGGCCUCCGUUUAAUAGGUUAGUCCCAAAAAUAAUAUAAAAGUGUAUAAUAAAGCAAAUUAAACAUCCAAAACAGAAUAUAAUAUAGCAUGGAACAAUAAAAAAUUAUAGAUACGUUGGAGAUGUAUCAAGCAUCCCCAAGCUUAAUUCCUGCUCGUCUUCGAGUAGGUAAAUGAUAAAAACAGAAUUUUUGAUGCGGAAUGCUACUUAGCAUAAUUUUCAAUGUAAUUCUCUUAUUUGUGGUAUGAAUAUUCAGAUCCGAAAGAUUCAAGAUAAAAGUUUAAUAUUGACAUAAAAAUAAUAAUACUUCAAGCAUACUAACUAAGCAAUUAUGUAUUCUCAAAAUAACAUGGCCAAAGAAAGUUAUCCCUACAAAAUCAUAUAGUCUGGCUAUGCUCUAUCUUCAUCACACAAAGUAUUUAAUCAUGCACAACCCCGAUGUCAAGCCAAGAAAUUGUUUCAUACUUUUGGUGUUCUCAUUUUUCCAUCUUCACGCAAUACAUGAGCGUGAGCCAUGGACAUAGCACUAUAUGUGGAAUAGAAUGGUGGUUGUGGAGAAGACAAAAAAGGUGAAGAUAGUCUCACAUCAACUAGGCGUAUCAACGGGCUAUGGAGAUGCCCAUCAAUAGAUAUCAAUGUGAGUGUGUAGGGAUUGACAUGCAACGGAUGCACUAGAGCUAUAAGUAUAUGAAAGCUCAACAAAAGAAACUAAGUGGGUGUGCAUCCAACUCGCUUGCUCACGAAGACCUAGGGCAUUUUGAGGAAGCCCAUCAUUGGAAUAUACAAGCCAAGUUCUAUAAUGAAAAAUUCCCACUAGUAUAUGAAAGUGAUAUCAUAGGAGACUCUCUAACAUGAAGAUCAUGGUGCUACUUUGAAGCACAAGUGUGGUAAAAGGAUAGUAGCAUUGUCCCUUCUCUCUUUUUCUCUCAUUUUUUUCUUUGGACCUUUUAUCUUUUUUUAUGGCCUCUUUUUUCGUCCGGAGUCUCAUCUCGACUUGUGGGGGAAUCAUAGUCUCCAUCAUCCUUUCCUCACUUGGGAAAAUGCUCUAAUAAUGAUGAUCAUCACACUUUUAUUUACUUACAACUCAAGAAUUACAACUCAAUACUUAGAACAAAAUAUGACUCUAUGUGAAUGCCUCCGGCGGUGUACCGGGAUAUGCAAUGAAUCAAGAGUGACAUGUACGAAAGAAUUAUGAAUGGUGGCUUUGCCACAAAUACGAUGUCAACUACAUGAUCAUGCAAAGAAAUUAUGACAAUGAUGGAGCGUGUCAUAGUAAAUGGAACGGUGGUAAGUUGCAUGGCAAUAUAUCUCAGAAUGGCUUGGAAAUGCCAUGAUAGGUAGGUAUGGUGGCUGUUUUGAGGAAGGUAUAUGGUGGGUGUAUGAUACCGGCGAAAAGUGCGCGGUAUUAGAGAGGCUAGCAAUGGUGGAAGGAUGAGAGUGCGUAUAAUCCAUGGACUCAACAUUAGUCAUAAAGAACUCAUAUACUUUUGCAAAAAUCUACAAGUUAUCAAAGCAAAUUAUUACGCGCAUGCUCCUAGGGGGAUAGAUUGGUAGGAAAAGACCAUCGCUCGUCCCCGACCGCCACUCAUAAGGAAGACAAUCAAUAAAUAAAUCAUGCUCCGACUUCAUCACAUAACGGUUCACCAUACGUGCAUGCUACGGGAAUCACAAACUUUAACACAAGUAUUUCUCAAAUUCAUAACCACUCAACUAGCAUGACUCUAAUAUCACCAUCUUCAUAUCUCAAAACAAUAAUCAAGCAUCAAACUUCUCAUAGUAUUCAACACACUCAUAAUUUUUUUUUACUAAUCUUGGAUGCCUAUCAUAAUUAAAGAAAAUUACCAUGCUGUUUUGUAGGACUCUCAAAAUAAUAUAAGUGAAGCAUGAGAGAACAAUAGUUUCUAUAAAACAAAUCCACCACCGUGCUCUAAAAGAUAUAAGUGAAGCACUAGAGCAAAAACUAUAUAGCUCAAAAGAUAUAAGUGAAGCACAUAGAGUAUUCUAAUAAAUUCCGAAUCAUGUGUGUAUCUCUCAAAAGGUGUGUACAGCAAGGAUGAUUGUGGUAAACUAAAAAGCAAAGACUCAAAUCAUACAAGACGCUCCAAGCAAAACACAUAUCAUGUGGUGAAUAAAAAUAUAGCUCCAAGUAAAGUUACCGAUGGACGAAGACGAAAGAGGGGAUGCCUUCCGGGGCAUCCCCAAGCUUUGGCUUUUUGGUGUCCUUAGAUUACCUUGGGGUGCCAUGGGAAUCCCCAAGAUUAGGCUCUUGCCACUCCUUGUUCCAUAAUCCAUCAAAUCUUUACCCAAAACUUGAAAACUUCACAACACAAAACUUAACAGAAAAUCUCGUGAGUUCCGUUAGCGACAGAAAACAAAACACCACUUCAAGGUACUGUAAUGAACUCAUUCUUUAUUUAUAUUGGUAUUAAACCUACUGUAUUCCAACUUCUCUAUGGUUUAUAAACUCUUUUACUAGCCAUAGAUUCAUCAAAAUAAGCAAACAACACGCGAAAAACAGAAUCUAUCAAAAACAGAACAGUCUGUAGUAAUCUGUAACUAACGCAAACUUAUGGAACUCAAAAAAUUCUACCAAAAUAGGAAGAGCUAGAAAAUUUGUUUAUUGAUCAACUGCAAUUGGUAUCAUUAUUUUAUCACGUUCUGGUGAUUUUUAAGAAUUGUUUUCGUGAACAGAAAGUUUCUGGAAUUUUCAGCAAGAUCAAAUAAGUAUCAUCCAAGAAGAUCCUAUAGGUUUAACUUGGCACAAACACUAAUUAAAACAUAAAAACAAAUCUAACAAGAGGCUAGAUAAAAUAUUUAUUCCUAAACAGAAGCAAAAAGCAAAAAACUAAAAUAAAAUUGGGUUGCCUCCCAACAAGCGCUAUCGUUUAACGCCCCUAGCUAGGCAUUGAUAUUUCAAUGAUGCUCACAUGAAAGACAAGAAUUGAAGCACAAAGAGAGCAUCACAAAAUAUGUGACAAACACAUCUAAGUCUAACAUACUUCCUAUGCAUAGGUAUCUUAUAGGCAAAUAAAUUAUCAAGGCAAGCAAAAACUAGCAUAUGCAAGGAAGCGGAAAGAAACAGUAGCAAUCUCAACAUGGCGAGAGGUAAUUUAAUAAGAUAAAAAUUUCUACCACCAUAUUUUCCUCUCUCAUAAUAAUUACAUGUAGGAUCAUAGGCAAAUUCAACAAAAUAGAUAUCACAUAACAUAUUCUCAACACGAUCCACAUGCAUGCGAAGUUGACACUCUUCCAAAAUAGUGGGAUUAUCAUUUACUAAAGUCAUGACCUCUCCAAAACCACUUUUAUCAAAAAUGCCAUAAGAUAGAACAUUCUCCAAAUAUGUGGGAUCUAAAGUUGACACUCUUCCAAACCCACCUUCAAUAUUAUUGCAAACACUAUUAUCAAUCUCAUAUUCAUCAUGGGGCUUAAAUAAAUUUUCAAGUUCAUAAGAAGAAUCACCUCAAUCAUGAUCAUUGCAACAAGUAGUAGACAUAGCAAAACUAGCAUCCCCAAGCUUAGGGUUUUGCAUAUUAUUAGCACAAUUGACAUCAAGAGAAUUUAUAGUAAAAUCAUUGCAAUCAUGCUUUUUAUUCAAAGAUCUAUCGUGAAUCACUUUAUAAAGUACUUCAUCACAAUUUUCAGAUUCACGAAUUUCAAGCAAAACCUCAUAAAGAUAAUCUAGUGCACUCAACUCACUAGCAAUAGGUUCAUCAUAAUUGGAUCUCUUAAAGAGAUUAGCAAGUGAAUGAGGAUUCAUAAACUUUUAGCAAGCUAAGAUGCAAGCAAAAAGAAGGUACAUGGUAACACAAGCAAACAAAAGGACGAACGGAAGAAGGGCGAAGAAAAGGCAAAGGUGAAGUGGGGGAGAGGAAAACGAGAGGCAAAUGGCAAAUAAUGUAAUGCGAGGGAUAAGAGUUUGUGGUGGGUACUUGGUAUGUCUUGACUUGUGCGUAGACUCCCCGGCAACGGCGCCAGAAAUGGCUCGUUGCUGGGAGUCAAAUCUUGACUUGACUUGGCGCGAAUCUCCCCGGCAACAGCGCCAGAAAUCCUUCUUGCUACCUCUUGAGCACUGCGUUGGUUUUCCCUUGAAGAGGAAAGGGUGAUGCAGUAAAGUAGCGUAAGUAUUUCCCUCAGUUUUUGAGAACCAAGGUAUCAAUCCAGUAGGAGAUCACGCUCGAGUCCCACGCACCUACACAAACAAAUAAGAACCUCGCAACCAACGUGAUAAAGGGGUUGUCAAUCCCUUCACGGUCACUUACGAGAGUGAGAUCUGAUAGAUAUGAUAAGAUAAUAUUUUUGGUAUUUUUAUGAUAAAGAUGCAAAGUAAAAUAAACGGCAAUAAAAAUAGCUAAGUGUUGGAAGAUUAAUAUGAUGGAAAAUAGACCCGGGGGCCAUUGGUUUCACUAGUGGCUUCUCUCAAGAGCAUAAGUAUUACGGUGGGUAAACGAAUUACUGUCGAGCAAUUGAUAGAAUUGAGCAUAGUUAUGAGAAUAUCUAGGUAUGAUCAUGUAUAUAGGCAUCACGUCCGCGACAAGUAGAUCGAAACGAUUCUGCAUCCACUACUAUUACUCCACACAUCGACCGCUAUCCAGCAUGCAUCUAGAGUAUUAAGUUCAUAAGAACAGAGUAAUGCUUUAAGUAAGAUGACAUGAUGUAGAGGGAUAAACUCAUGCAAUAUGAUAUAAACCCCAUCUUUUUAUCCUCGAUGGCAAUAAUACAAUACGUGCCUUGCUGCCCCUGCUGUCACUAGGAAAGGACACCACAAGAUUGAACCCAAAGCUAAGCACUUCUCCCAUUGCAAGAAAGAUCAGUCUAGUAGGCCAAACCAAACUGAUAAUUUGAAGAGACUUGCAAAGAUAACCAAUCAUACAUAAAAGAAUUCAGAGGAGAUUCAAAUAUUGUUCAUAGAUAAUCUUGAUUAUAAACCCACAAUUCAUCGGAUCUCGACAAACACACCACGAAAGAAGAUUACAUCGAAUAGAUCUCCAAGAGAAUCGAGGAGAACUUUGUAUUGAGAUCCAAAGAGAGAGAAGAAGCCAUCUAGCUCAUAACUAUGGACCGGAAGGUCUGAGGUAAACUACUCACACAUCAUCGGAGAGGCUAUGGUGUUGAUGUAGAAGCCCUCCGUGAUCAAUGCCCCCUCCGGCGGAGCACCGAAAAAGGCCCCAAGAUGGGAUCUCACGGAUACAGAAGGUUGCGGCGGUGGAAAUAGGGUUUUUGGCUCCGUCCCUGAUGGUUUGGGGGUACGUAGGUAUAUAUAGGAGGAAUAAGUAGGUCAGUGGAGCUACGAGGGGCCCACGAGGGUGGAGGGUACGCCCAGGGGGGUAGGCGCGCCCCCUGCCUCGUGGCCUCCUCGUUCGUUCCUUGACGUCCACUCCAAGUCCUCUGGAUCACGUUUGUUCCAAAAAUCACGUUCCCGAAGGUUUCAUUCCGUUUGGACUCCGUUUGAUAUUCCUUUUCUGCGAAACACUGAAAUAGGCAAAAAAAACAAUUUGGGCUGGGCCUCCGGUUAAUAGGUUAGUCCCAAAAAUAAUAUAAAAGUGUAUAAUAAAGCCCAUUAAGCAUCCAAAACAGAAUAUAAUAUAGCAUGGAACAAUCAAAAAUUAUAGAUACGUUGGAGACGUAUCAGUCAAUAACCUGGAUUAUCGAGUUCAUCGAGAAUUAAUGAAGGAUCAACUCGAUUAGCCACUCGAGGAUGAGGAUUUUCAUCUUGAUGAUCAUUAUCACUUUCAUCAGCAUCAGCAUUUGUAUCGCCAUUCCCUUCAGGAUUGCCAUUUUGCUCGGCAUUUGGAUUCGGAUUGCCAUUAGUAUUUGGAGUAGCAUUUUGCUUUGGCAGUGGCUUGGCGAGUUCUGCUUCGAGUCAUAGGAGCAUCAUCAUCGAAGAGUCGGGUGCAUUUUCUGCAACUGGCUUAACGCUCCCAAUAGCCAUUUGCCGAAUAGCAUCCGAGAUCGGUGGUUCCCACAUUUGGCAGGUGCUCCUUUUGGGAGCCAUUAGAUUCAUGAAACCGCACAUUUACCAUUUCCAUAACUUUCCCGUGAGAGUUAUAGACACGAUAAGUAUGCGAGUUCGAGCCAUAGCCAAGAAGAAAACCUUCAAGUGCCUUAGAUCCAAACUUGGAAGAAUGAUUCAUAUCACGAAUAUAACAAGGUACAAAAAAACACGUAAAUAAGAAAAAUUUGUUUGCUUGCUAGUGAUAAGCUCAUAUGAGGUUUUCUUAAGGAACUUGUGUAGAUAAACACGACUGAUAACAUGACAAGCAGUAUUAAUAACAUCAGCCCAGAAGUGAAUAGGAGUUUUAUACUCACUGAGCAUUGUUCUUGCCAUUUUGAUGAGAGUUCUAUUCUUUCGCUCAACAACUCCAUUCUGUUGGGGAGUGUAAGUGACAGAGAACUCAUGAGUAAUACCAUUUUCGUCGAAGAAAAUCAUCGAUAUGAGUAUUUUUGAACUCAGUCCCAUUGUCACUUCUGACAUGCUUAAUUCGCACAUCAUAUUCAUUCUGGGCUUUCUUGGUGAAGAUUUUGAAGAUAUCUUGGGUGCAGGUUUUGUCUUCGAGAAACAAUACCCAAGUGUAGCGAGAGAAAUCAUCAACAAUGACCAGGUCAUAAUGACUGCCACCGAAACUUGCAUAGUUUUGAGGACCGAAUAAAUCCAUAUGAAGAAUUUCCAGAGGUCUUGUUGUGGUCAUAACAGUCUUUGAUGAAUGAUGCUUCUUGGCCAAUUUACCAGCCUCACAUGCAGCAUAGAGACGAUCCUUGUCGAAUUGCACAUCAGGAAUGCCACGGAGAUGAUUUUUCUUCACUAGAGUCUGCAAAAUUCUCAUACCUUCAUGACCAAGUCUUCGGUGCCACAACCAGCAUUUGGUUGCUUUUGCAAGCAAACAAGUUUGGACUGAGGGACCCUUAGAGAAAUCCACAAUAUAUACAUCACCUUUUCUAAUUCCCUCGAAGACGAAGGAAUUGUUAGAGGCCAUGAAGACAAUGCAUUUGGAUAUGGAAAAUAGAACUAGCAUGCCUAGAUCAUAUAGCUUGCCAAAUGACAUAAGGUUGAAUCCAAGACUGAACAAGUAAAACAUCAUCAACGGACUUGUCUUUGGAUAUGGCAAUUUUACCUAGCCCAGUUACCUUUCCUUUGUUGUUGUCGCCAAAAGUGAUAUACUUCAGAGGUGAAGCAGUUAAGUUGGGGUCGACAAACAAUGACUUGUCUCUGGUCAUAUGACUAGUGCAUCCACUAUCCAUUAUCCAUUCUGUACACCCAGAGACAUAGUCCUGCAGAAGAAUUAGGCUUUCUUAACCAUCCACAUCUUUGCAGGUGGCUUCGAAACAAAUAAAUGAGCAGGAUAUGAUUUCUUUCGGUAACCAUAGUUGUUACUCGAUGAGGUGCGAGCAUAAUCAAAGGAAUAAGCAUUGAAAUUCUUUCAAGACGAAUGAGUAUAGUGAUUGAAUGAGGCAUGCAUGUACUCAUUCUGUCGAACUUUUUCAAGGAAGUAACGAGCAUUUUGAGCCUGCAUGGUUAGUAAUGUGGUAACAAGUAAUGCUUCAAUAGUUUUCUUAGGCACCCUAAGCUUUCUUUGGGGGGCAUUCCUGUUGUCCUGUCCAACAUAGCGACCAACAGCCUCACCAUAUUGGUUUUUGAACAACUUGUAGUUGUCCAGAGAAUCAUCAUCAGGAUAUUCAGGGAUGGGAGAGUUAUAUCCCGAAAGGAAAGCUGGAUCGAGCGUUUUGCUUGGCAGGCACCCAUACAGUGCGAGGAUAUUGAUCAGGUUCCCAGUAGGAGCCAUUUUCAUUCAGUUUCCUUUCGAAAACAAUGCCUUCUUUGCUGGGAUUUUGGUGAAGAAUGGAUUUCUUCAAAACAUCACAAAGGGUUUGAUGCCCUUUGAGAGAUUUGAACAUUCAUGUCUGAAGAAGAUCCUUCAACCUAGCAUUUUCAUCAGAAACAAAACCAUUUUCCUCGAGAGAGGGGUUAGCAUUCACAGAUGAUUCAACAUUUGAUUCAGCAUUGGAUCGUUCAAGACAUUUUAAGAAAGAUGGAACAAAUACUUCAGAUUUCUCUUGAAGUUGUUGGGUGGGAAGAGAAUUUUCUCUGAUCAAAUCCUCAUGAGCCUCUCUCAGCACCUAGAAGAAGAGUUGUAUAUGAUGCAACCAGAAGGUUUUGUCGAUCCAAAGGGGGCUAACAAAGUGUGCAAGCUCCAGCGAUCCAUUUAUGGACUGGUGCAAGCCUCUCGGAGAUGGAAUAAACAUUUUGAUAGUGUGAUCAAAGCAUAUGGUUUUAUACAGACUUUUGGAGAAGCCUGUAUUUACAAGAAAGUGAGUGGGAGCACUACAGCCUUUCUGAUAAGUAUAUGUGAAUGACAUAUUGUUGAUCGGAAAUGAUGUAGAAUUUUCUGGAAAGCAUAAAGGAGUGUUUGAAAGGAGUUUUUCAAAGAAAGACCUCGGUGAAGCUGCUUACAUAUUGGGCAUCAAGAUCUAUAGAGAUAGAUCAAGACGCUUGAUAAGAUUUUUCAAUGAGUACAUACCUUGACAAGAUUUUUGAAGUAGUUCAAAAUGGAACAGUCAAAGAAGGAGUUCUUGCCUGUAUUGCAAGGUGUAAAGUUGAGUAAGACUCAAAACACGACCAUGGCAGAAAAUAGAAAGAGAAUGAAAGUCAUUCCCUAUGCCUCAGCCACAGGUUCUAUAAAGUAUGCUAUGUUGUGUACCAAACCUAUUGUGUACCUUGCCAUGAGUUUGGCAAGGGGGUACGAUAAUGAUCCAGGAGUGGAUCACUUGACAGCGGUCAAAAUUAUCCUUAGAAGACUAAGGAGAUAUUUCUCGGUUAUGGAGGUGAUAAAGAGUUCGUCGUAAAUAGUUACGCCGAUGCAAGCUUUUACACCAAUCCGGAUGACUCUGAGCUCAAUUUGGAUACAUAUUGAAAGUGGGAGCAAUUAGCUAGAGUAUCUCCACGCAGAGCAUUGUAGACAUAGAAAAUUUGCAAAAUACAUACGGCUCUGAAUGUGACAGACCCAUUGACUAGGCUUCUCUCACAAGCAAAACAUGAUCACACCUUAGUACUCUUUGGGUGUUAAUCACACAGCGAUGUGAACUAGAUUAUUGACUCUAGUAAAACCCUUUGGGUAUUAGUCACAUGGCGAUGUGAACUAAUCACAUGGUGACAUGAACUAUUGGUGUUAAAUCACAUGGCGAUGUGAACUAGAUUAUUGACUCUAGUCCAAGUGGGAGACUGAAGGAAAUAUGCCCUAGAGGCAAUAAUAAAGUUGUUAUUUAUAUUUCCUUAUACCAUGAUAAAUGUUUAUUAUUCAUGCUAGAAUUGUAUUAACCAGAAACUUAGUACAUGUGUGAAUACAUAGACAAAAUAGAGUGUCCCUAGUAUGCCUCUACUUGACUAGCUCGUUAAUCAAAGAUGGUUAUGUUUCCUGGCCAUAGCCAUGUGUUGUCAUUUGAUGAACGGGAUCACAUCAUUAGAGAAUGAUGUGAUGGACAAGACCCAUCCGUUAGCUUAGCAUAAUGACCAUUUAGUUUUAUUGCUAUUGCUUUCAUCAUGACUUAUACAUGUUCCUCUAACUAUGAGAUUAUGCAAAUCCCGAAUACCGGAGGAACACCUUGUGUGCUAUCAAACGUCACAACAUAACUGGGUGAUUAUAAAGAUGAUCUACAGAUGUCUCCGAAGGUGUGUGUUGGGUUGGCAUAGAUCGAGAUUAGGAUUUGUCACUCCGUGUAUCGAAGAGGUAUCUCUGGGCCCUCUCGGUAAUGCACAUCACUAUAAGCCUUGCAAGCAAUGUGACUAAUGAGUUAGUCAAGGGAUAAUGCAUUACAGAACGAGUAAAGAGACUUGUCGGUAACGAUAUUGAACUAGGUAUGAUGAUACCGACGAUCGAAUCUCGGGCAAGUAACAUACCGAUGACAAAGGGAACAAUGUAUGUUGUUAUGCAGUUUGACCGAUAAAGAUCUUCGUAGAAUAUGUAGGAGCCAAUAUGAGCAUCCAGGUUCCGCUAUUGGUUAUUGACUGGAGAUGUGUCUCGGUCAUGUCUACAUAGUUCUCGAACCCAUAGGGUCCGCAUGCUUAACGUUCGAUAAUGAUUUGUAUUAUGAGUUAUGUGAUUUGAUGACCGAAGGUUGUUCGGAGUACCGGAUGAGAUCACGGACAUGACGUGGAGUCUCAAAAUGGUCGAGAUAUAAAGAUUGAUAUAUUGGACCAUGUUAUUCGGACACCGGAAGUGUUCGGGAUAGUUUCGGGUAAAACCGGAGUGCCGGAGGGGUUACCGGAACCCCCCGGUGUAACUAAUGGGCCACCAUGGGCCCUGUUGGAGAGAGAGGAGGACAGCCAGGGCAGGCCCCCCCCCUUGGAGUCCGAAUUGGACAAGGGAAAGGGGGGCGGCGCCCCCCUUUCCUACUCCCUCUCCCUCUCCUUCCUUCCCCCUCUCUCCCUCUUGGUGGAAUCCUACUAGGACUUGGAGUCCUAGUAGGACUCCCCUCCUUGGGCGCGCCCGCUAGGGCCGGCCGGCCUCCUCCCUCCCUCCUUUAUAUACAUGGGGAGGGGGGCACCCUAGAAUACACAAGUUGAUCUUUUAGCCGUGUGCGGUGCCCCCUCCACAGAAACACACCUCUGUCAUAUCGUCAUAGUGCUUAGGCGAAGCCCUGCGCCGAUAACUUCAUCAUCACCGUCACCAUGCCGUCGUGCUGACGAAACUCUCCCUCGGCCUCAACUGGAUCAAGAGUUCGAGGGACGUCACUGAGCUGAACGUGUGCAGAUCACGGAGGUGCCGUGCAUUCGGUACUUGGAUCGGUUGGGUCGCGAAGACGUUCGAAUACAUCAACCGCGUUACUAAACGCUUCCGCUUUCGGUCUACAAGGGUACAUGGACACACUCUCCCCGCUCGUUGCUAUGCAUCUCCUAGAUAGAUCUUGCAUGAUCGUAGGUAAAUUUUUUAAAAUACUGCGUUCCCCAACAGGAUAUGCAAUGCCAGCCAUGCCAGAGUCAGAAUCCUCAUCGGAUUCAUUGGCUUCUUCGGAGUCUGACGAUUCUUCUUCAUUAUAAUCCAUUUCCUUGCCGAUGUACGCCUUGGCCUUGCGAGAGUUAUUCUUGCGGUUGGAGAAGGACUUGGAAGGAUUCCUUGAGGAAGAUCUUGACGAAGAUUUUGAACAGGAGUUGUCCUUCUUCUUAAAGAACUUCUUCGCUUUCUUCUCAUCAUCGGAGCCGUAGUUCUUGCUCUUGCUUUUGCCUUGAUAGUUGCCAUAAUCAUAUCUUCCACUAGCACGGAUUUCAGCUUCCCAGAGAGGGUAGUCCAAAAUGAAGUGUCCAGCCUUUUUGCACUUGAAGCUAACGUAUUCUCCAGUAGGUUUUGAUGAAGAUUUUGAACCGCCAGAGUUGCUUGAACCUUUCUUCUAGAACUGGCUUUUCUUGUGAAAAUGUUGGAAUCUUUUCGUGAUCAGUGCGAGAUUUUUUUGCUGACCCUUUUAGGGUCAUCAGAAUCUUCUUCAGCAUUUCCUUUGGAGGAAGAAUCAGCCAUAGCCUUGAGAGCAUGGCUUUUGCGAUGGUUUGAACCAUAUAGAUCUCUCUUUUCUUCUUCUUGUUCCUCGUGGGUGUUUAGUCUUUCCAUGAUAUCAGCAGAGUCGAGAUCUUUGAAAUCAGCUCGUUCCCUGAUCAUUAGAACAAGUGUGUUGAAUGAACUAUCAAGUGAUCGAAGCAGCUUCUUCACAACCUCAUGGUCAGUGAUGUCUUUGGCGCCGAGGCCUUGCAGCUCAUUUGCGAUGUCACUCAUGCGAUCGAAGGUUUGCUGACAGCUUUCAUUUCCAAUGCGCUUGAACCGAUUGAACUUUGCUCGAAGAGUGUCAAUGCGAGCUUCUUUCUGAGUUGAAACACCUACAUUUAUCUUCUCGAGAAUGUCCCACAAUUCCUUCGCAGUUUCACACUGUCGAUAGCAAAGAGAUUGAGCAUGAGAGAGAUGAGCACCAAUUUCAUCUUUAGCUUGAGCGUCCAUCUGAAUGGGUUUCUUCUCGGCAUCAGUGGGGGCUUGAGGUAUUUCAAUCGUGAACCCAAACUGCACCACGUUCCGCAUGUCAUCGUCAAUGGCUCGGAGAUGGAUCUUAAUCUUCUCCUUCCAAAAGGGAUAGUCCGUCCCAUUGAACAUGGGAAUCUUGAGAUGCGAGUUGUAGCUCACUGAAGACAUACUUAAACUCUAAGGUUGUUAGACCAAAAUGAGCAGAAUCAAGGAGUACCUUGCUCUGAUACCAACUAUAGGAACGAAGUAUGUCUACCAGAGGGGGUGAAUGGAAGCUUUAAAAUUUCUUCAGAAAUCUCAAAACUCUCGGAACCAGCAGCGGAGCAAAUGAAAAACAAACUAAAGUGAGCUAUAACAAGUACCGAAUGGAAAAAAACAUGCAUCGAGACAAAUCACAUGAAGGAAAACAUAUCGAAUGUAAACAUGGGUAGCAAAGGUAACAUGUGAUGCUCGAUGGCGACAGGGUAUUUGUUCGACCAGUUCGUCCUUCUGCACAAGGACUACGUCUGGUUGGAGGGGCUGUGACUUAACACGGAAGAUAAACUCUCUUCAGCCUAUUCUCCUCGACAAUUGGUUCGUCAACCAAUGUCGAUCACUCAUUGUAGAUACUUGAGGCAAUCUCUGAACCUUUACAUACUUCUUCUUCGAGAACCACAAUCACUCUUGGUCUCUAAAGAAAUUGACACCUAACUGUCUAGAGAGUUUGCAGCUCUCAAGAGUAAUGGUGGAGCGUACUGGACUUAGAUUCGAGUGAUGUUGAACCACUAUCUAUUUUUUCGGCUCUAGGGGUUUUCUCUUGGUGGAUUUUAAACUCAAAUCGCUCAGAGAGGGGGUUACUCAACAAUCUUAUCAGAAUCAAAGGGAGUAGCCACCGAACAAAGCUGGCGCGGGGUGGCUAUUUAUAGACGCAGGCUUCCCUGGAGGGAAAUGACCAUUUUGGACACGCGGUCUAGCCAAUGGCCAACCGACACGUUUACAACGGUCAGAUUUUGGAGCAACGGUAACAUUGCUUGAGGAACAAGCAAUGCUAACUCCUCGGUCUGAGACAAAUCACUCGUAGCGAAGAAGAUCGCAGUCUCUUGCUGGCAAGUAUUUGCUCAGAACACAAGGAGAUUUCUCUCGCAACUUUCAUAGGAUUUGGGUUUAGCAUCAGAGAUUCAAAGCUUCGAACGCUACACCCCUCUUAAUAGUACGGUGGUCCUAUGACUCAAUAAAGAUAAGAAGAACAACGAAAUAAAUGCUACGUCUUCACUUCGUCUUCAAUCUCCUCGGACGCAGUCAUCUUCCUUGGACAAGCACCGAACCAAUUGCUUCACUUCAAAAAAAUUGAGGGGUCACUCUUGUUAUCAUAACCUUUGGUGAUAACCUUCAUUGCAGCACAGGGAGGUUACCUUCGUCGUUUAACUCAAACUCCUCGUGAUCUCAGGGACUUGUUACUCUGUGUGCUCUAGCAAAUACAUAAGUCACAUACUGUUUAUGUCAACAAACUCCUAAACAUAAGGGGCCUAUCAUUGCACCAACAGCUACCAGGAUUUUUUUUUCUGGAGGUAGGAGACGAAGUGGGAGAAAGGGAUAAGUGAGGGGGUCCCUGUGGGGCCCACCACCCACCAGGGCGCGCCUAGGGGGGUAGGUGCGCCCUUAUGCCUUGUGGGCACCUGGGGAAUCCCCGGGGAUGGUUUUAGUGCCAAAAAUGCUUAAAUAUUCAGAAAAAAAUCAUGUAAAAAUUUCAGGUCAUUUUGAGCACUUUCAUUUUUGGGCACUUUUUCAUUGCACAGAUAAUUCAGAAAACAGGAUAUUCGUGGCAUUUUAUUGCAUUUAACUAAGAGUAACAUAAAAUAUAAAGUGAGUACAGAAGCUUGUGCCUACUAAAUUCAUCGACCACAUGCCUCUCGAAAAUAAUACAUUAAUAAGGUUCAUCAAGUCUUAUUAACAACUACUUCUGAUUAGCAUGAAACCGAAGAAUCUUGUAAAACACUAGGUUACCUCAAUGGGGAUAUGCAUCUCCCCAACAAUAAGUGUCUCAUAUUUCUUUUUAACAAUAUGAAGGGGAAUUUAAAAACUUCCAAUAGUAAUUGUCGGAGUCUUUUCAAUAACAUGAAUACCAUUUACUUGAAACUGUUUCUUCGGAAAGUGCACCUUAUGUUCAUUACUAUUGAUAUGAAAAGUGAUCUUACUUUUGUUGCAAUCAAUAACAGCCUUGCAGUGUUCAAAAAGGGCAUAUCAAGUAUAACAGUUGUCGUCCUCGGGCAUAUCAAGUAUAACAAAGUCUGUUAAGAUAGUAACAUUUGUAACUACAACGGGCACAUCCUCAGACACUGAUAGGUAUGACAGUUGAUUUGUCAGCCAUUUGCAAUGAUAUUUCAGUGGGUGUAAGUUUAUUCAAAUCAAGUCUUUUAUAUAGAGAAAGGCAUAACACUAACACCGGCUCCUAAAUCACAUAAAUCAGUUUUGACAUAAUUUCUUUAAAUGUAGCAUGGUAUAAUUGGUAUUCCUGAAUCUCCUAGUUUCUUAUGUCUCCAUCCUUAAAAGAGUAGUUUGCAAGCAUGUUUGAGAUUUCAACUUUAGGUAUUUUUCUUUAUUAAUGACAGUAUCUUUCAUAUAUUUAGCAUAAGGGGUCAUCUUUAAAAUAUCAGUCAAACGAGUACGCAAAAAGACUAGCCUAAGCAUUUCAGCAAAGCGUUCAAAUUCUUCCUCAUCCUUUUUUUGAUGAUUUAUGUAACACCCCGAGAAUCAUGCUACAGUAAUCUUCCCCUAAUGGUGAUCAUGUCAUCAUGAUUACUAUGCAAAUUCCCACUUGUCCAAAAUCAAAGUCAAAUUCAAAUUUAAAUUGCAAGUGAAAACACUAUUUCUUUGAACUGUAAACUAAAAUGUUCACAUUACUCUAUAAUUCCCCUGAUCUUUGUCAUGUUGAAACCAAAUUAAUUUGACUCACAAAUAAACUCCUAGGAAUUUAUUAAGUGGUCCAAAGGCAUUUAAUUUGGCCUUUUCAAAGUAACAAAAAUUUCAACCUUUGGAAAUGCCCCAAAACUUUUUGUGCAGCCCUAGAAUAUUGCAUAGCAUUUUUGUGCAAAGUUUGAGCUCCGAAAUAAAGUAAUUGCUAUCUAAACUAAAUAGGAAACCGUAGCAGUUUUAUUACAAAAAGAGAGAGGAGAAAUGGCCCUAUGCCAAAAAAAGAGAGGAGUAAUUGCUAUCUAAACUAUCGUCAUUCAAAAUCACACGAUUUUUCCAAUGUACUACCUCCGUUUGAGAACGUAAGACGUUUUUGUUGGCUAGUUUAGCCUACAAAGCCGUCUUAUAUUUUGAGACGAGGUAGUAUUUCGUAAAAGUGGGACACACGUAUAAGAUUUAGUACUUAAGACUUGCACUUGAUAGCCAAAUUUCGUUUUCAAAUUCCCCAAUGAACACUGAUUAGCAGAAUCACGCCUUUCCCAUUGGCAACAAACUUUCACCCCACCCGCAAAAAAAAAACUUUCACCCCGGGCAUGCAAAACACAAGCAGGUAUCCAAUCCCCAUUGUAUAUUUGUUCAAGAACAUCACUAAUUAAUGGUACAAAACAGCCAACUCCCAGCAGAGUGGGGUUACGGCGAGCAGAGCGGCGGCAACACCCAGCAAGGAGUACCCUGCGCCGGCGCCCCCUGCCGCGCCAUUGCCGGAGGAGCUGCCGUACUGGGCAUUGGCGCUCUCGAGAUGGAUGACCAGGCAGACGACGGCAGGAGGAGAGAGCGGUGGUCCAUCUUGAUGAUCUCGCUUUGCUUCUGAAGCCUGCUCGGUCGUGCCUAGGGAGAGGUCUAUAUAGAGGUGUGGACACGAUACGCUCUUGCACAAAGCAAACAGAGAGACAGAAAUUUGACUAGUUCUCUGAGGCUGGAGCGUCGUUUCAAUCGCAAGUGGAUGGUUUCUUGCCGUUGUGUUGAGCUGAACCAAAGCUGCUAUGUUGGUUUUACAUAUUCGCCUGACAAUCCCUGAGGAAGGCGGUGUUUCUGGCUGCAUCUCCAGUGACCGUCUCGAGAUUUCGCCUAUGUUCUGUGCUAGACCCAGGAGCUCAUUGACAAGGUCAGUUGCAGCUGGAAACCACUAUGUUGAUAGCAACCAUGACCAAAUCAAGAGCUGGCAGACCAAAAGAAUCAAGGGAUACAAUCACAACUGUUUCUGAUGCAGCUCUACGCUUCGACUCAGCGGUCCAUCUGGUGUCGCAUCGAUCAAACACGCAAUCAUUGUGUGGUUGUUUCCAAUUGUGGCUUUUGAUCAUGUUCGGUCCAUCCCAAGUAGCUGCAUCCUCAAACAUGCCAGUGAAGUCGUCAGGUAGCGGUGUUAUGGAUUGCAGAGAACUCAGACCUGGAACAAACUGGACGGGAGAAGACACGCACCACGUGAGGAGAUGGAAUAUGGCCUAGGCCUCCCGGCUGCAGAGAGGGCAAAGAUGCUGAUUUUGAAGCCUGUGUCGCUCCAGCAUAUCCGCUGUCCGGCAGCUGUUGGCGAAGAUCUUGCACUUAGCCGAUGCCCAGGCGCCCAGCCUUCCAAGAUUGGACUAUUCCUUCAAACAGCGUCUUCAUAAGCAGAUUUAGCGGAGUAAACAAGGGCUGAGAAAUUACCAAAUGAAGUAAUCUUCGUCUCGUUGGCGGACUGGGCAUCGACGAGUGGAGUUAUACACCAGAAAUGAAUUAGCAACUUGUUACCGCACCUGCAAAAUUUAGCUCCAGGUAGCCUCGGCUUGGUACCAUCAACUGAUAUAUAUAAAUACAUGUUGCCCGUGCUACUCACAGUUACAAAAAUUAAAUAACUGUGAGGCUAAGAUAAACGACUUCCACCAACAUCCCGGUGCUCUGCUCGGGAGGAGUUUGGCAUACUUCCAUGGGGUUUGGAAUAGAAACGCCCCUCUCAAGUUCUAAACAGGCAAGUUCAAAAAAAAACUUCUAAACAGGCACCGGUCAGUUGCGACCGGAUAUUUUCAUUUUCUGUGCGCACGCUCAGGCUGAAUGUGCUCCCCACAUCUUCAGCUAGGACCAUCCACUCCGGUUCUAGGGCAGAACACUGAAACUAAAUCCACUCACGCUCUAGCACACAACACUGAAACAACUUCCACAAAUAUACAAUAAUAAAACACCCUCCAUCCCAAAACAUAAGACGUUUUUUGAUACUAUCAUAGUAUCAGAAAACGUCCUACAUUUCAGGACGGAGGGGGUAGAGUAUAACAGGAUGACAUGCAAUAGAUAGUAUACGUGCUCCCUCCACUUUUAUCCGGGCUUGGGACCGGCAUUGGCAGUGUUACGCACCCUCACCCCACCCCAUACAAUCGCUUCACACAUAAAUAGGCAACAAAUCUUAAGAGACGAUGACGAAACAUGUCAACAGGGCAAACACUACAAACUGUAGAUGGAGAUGCAACAACUUAUUAAGGACCUACCAAGAUAGGUCAUUUUACACACCAUAACACAUAAGAAGAAUAUAACGCUAUGAAUACACAUCACAUCCGUUGACAAAACAAUUAGCUGUUCCUUGUCAAAACAAAUCAUGAAAAAUAGAAGCUACCGUGAAGCAAAACUCGACUAAUCAAAUAGAAAGGACUGUAUUACAUGUCAAGAGAAGCAUAGCACAUAAAUAGCAAAUUCUCAUGCACUUCAGCUAAUAACUACACCCCAGAAUCAUCAUUUUGAACUUGUCAAAUAUAGCAAUUAUCAUGUAUAAGAAAGUUGCGGUUAUAUUAAUUAGCACAACUAUUUCACUAAAGCCAACAUAGGUCAGCGUACACAAAUUAACACCUUGCAUCAUGACUGUACACGAUCAGACUAGAAAUUCAGUUAUGUACCAAAUAUGAGACAAUGCUAAUUCACAGUACACUAUCUAACAUAAAAGAAGACAGACAUACUCACAUCAACAAUGGAUAAGAAGUUGCUAUGAACAUAGAAUUAAUAUGUUUUGCCAGGUUGUACAACAGACGCAGCAAAAAGAAACUUUAGAUGCAAUAACGAUGUACGAUGGUGCUAAUGAACCAACAAUAUAGGCACUAAAAUAGUCAAAAUCAAAGACAGAAAUAUGGGCAGACCUGAAUAUAUAUGGGAUACAAACAACCAGAAUUCAAGAUGUCUUAAGUUAAAUAUACUCGUGCUCAUUUGCAGCGCAAGAUGAGAGAUUCUCAUGAGCAGCACCAAGUAGAACUAGUAAAAGUAAUAGCUCAUGAGCAAUAUAUGGGUAUGACUAUUUUGGAAAAAGGAGGAAAAUCACUAUUUCUAGGAAAUAGUUGGCUUAACUACAAAAAUGAGAAUCGCCCCGAAGUUGGGCGGGCCAUACUGAAAAAGAGCACACAAUUUUGAGGCAUUAGUCACUACUCAGCCCCUUCUGUUGUCAUUAAAUUUUCACCAUAUGUUGAUAAACAAGUUAGCAGCAAGAGACUCAUCUUCUACCUUGUUAUGCAAGCUUGUUUCAGUUAUCUUUCAUACACUCAAAUGCACUUAAGAAAAAAAUUAUUUAGCAUUAGGUACGAACACCAGCUGAUUCACCAAAGAAAAAUGCAUUAGUUAUGCUCAGUUCAACCAAUGGAUAACAGAAACACAUGCUCCAGAGAUAAUUGGAAAUUACCUAGCAGCAUCGAUGUAGGAGGUGAACAUAGGCUCUACUCGAUAGUUGUCAGCGGAGGCCCAAGCCCGGAGGGGAGGAUGGGGCCGUGGCGAGGUGAGGCGAGGGGAGCCGUGGAGCAGGAAGAAUGUCGGGGAGGCCGGCGUCGUGCUGUCGGACGACAGCUGAGGUGCCGCGUGUUAGCAUUCUUGUGUGUAUGUUUAGCAGCGAUGAGGCUGUGCUAUCCGCGCGGUGGUGGGGGUUGGUUGUGCCAUGCAAGAUUUGCGCCUGUGCGAGACACGGGCAGCGGCGCCUGCUCCUGCUGUGUGCGCUUCGUGCUAGAAAUCUUUUUGGUCUCCUGGUGUACUCGAUGGUGGACUGGGCUGAGCCAAGCAUACACAGUAAUAAAAAAGUCAUGGAAAUCAUGGGCGGGCCAUGGCCCUGUUGUGCCCCAACUAAGCUCCGCCCCUGGGCGUAAGAACUCCCAAACUUAUCCCACUAAUUGAUCAAUCAAUUAUUCUUAUUCAAAAAAUCCUCGACUAUACAGAAACAAACUCACAUGAUUGUAAGGGAAAAAUUCAACCAGGCAUAUGAGAAAUACUCUGACAGGUCAUUAUGCACACUAAACACAAAUAUGCGCCAUGAAGGCUUACCCUAAAAAAAAGAGAGCGCUACGAUUCUCUUUAAAACAAAAUCAUACAAAUAGAAGUUAUACCAUCAUUUAAGAGGCAAGAUCCAAUAGUCCUGCACAAUUUCCUAUGCCCAUAAAUAGCAAAUGUGGAUGCUAGAGAUAUAAACAAAGUGCACUAAAGCUAACAAAUACACCCAAGUACCAAACCACAGCCAUAUUCAUCAUUUUGAACUUGAAAUUAUGGACAAAACAGCAUUGCAGUUACAUCAAAAGGCAGAACCAUUAUCAGUUACAUUACUGUCCAAUAAACCCAACAUGAAUGUUUUCUUCAACUCGUUGUUAUUUUCAACAAAUCAAAAUGCCAUUGAAGCUUUAGAAAGAGGCCGACUCAAGUAAGCCAGACACAAAGUCAACAUGCAAAAAUAACACCUCACAGAAUGACAGCGUACACAAUCACACCAGAAAUUCAGCCAUACACAAACUUUGGGACAAUACAGAGUAAGAAAAGUUAAUUCACAGUGCACCAUCUUAGAAAAAAACGCCGUAUUGAACACAACACUACAACAACGUAACAUUAAUAAGCACGAGUCAAAAUGCUUAACCUAUUUGUACAACGUAGAAAGAUGUAUAUAGAAGAAAACGAAAUGUACGAAAAUCGCAUUUCAGAUAUAGCAUGGUACUAAUUGACCUACCAGAGCUACAAAAAGAAACAAUGAUGGUAAUCAACUUUUACUUAUUUGCAAAAAUAUAGGCAUUAAAGCUUAGAAGAAAGAACAUGCUAACUGAAAUGUGAACUCGAAUUGACUACGAUAUGGACUAAAAAUGACCUCACAAAAGUAAAAGGAUAUCUCAAACUUAUUACACCUAAUGAAUAAGAUGACUCCGAUGAGCAACACAAAGUACAGCUCAACAGCAUAUAAUAACAAUAAAAGAACUAGUGGCUUUAUAACUCUAAACUCCCUUCAAGUCAGUAACCCUAAACUGUAACUUGAAUUCAUGGCAUGACUUACAUUCAGAUUUUAUCUGAAUUCAUGACGAAUGUGUAACUAGAUACAUGAAGUUUAAGCAAACAAGUAUUAAACAAGGAAUUUUGUGACGCCCCCGAUUUGACCGUACACUAAUCAUGCACGCAAAUGUGUACGAUCACGAUCAGGGACUCACGGGAAGAUAUCACAACACAACUCUACAACAUAAAUAAGUCAUACAAGCAUUAUAAUACAAGCCAGGGGCCUCGAGGGCUCGAAUACAAGUGCUCGAUCAUAGACGAGUCAGCGGAAGCAACAAUAUCUGAGCACAGACAUAAGUUAAACAAGUUCGCCUUAAGAAGGCUAGCUCAAUAGUAGCAACGAUCGAAAAGGCAAGGCCUCCUGCCUGGGACCUCCUAACUACUCCUGGUCGUCGUCAGCGGCCUGCACGUAGUAGUAGGCACCUCCAGUGUCGUAGGUGUCGUCGUCGACGGUGGCGUCUGGCUCCUGGACUCCAAUAUCUGGUUGCGACAAUCAGAUAGAUAGGAAGGGGGAAAAGAGGGAGAGAAGCAACCGUGAGUACUCAUCCAAAGUACUCGCAAGCAAGGAGCUACACUACAUGUGCAUGGGUAUAUGUGUAAAGGGGCAUAUCAGUGGUCUGAACUGCAGAAUGCCAGAAUAAAAGGGGGAUAGCUAGUCCUGUCGAAGACUACGCUUCUGGACAUCUCCAUCUUGCAGCAUGUAGAAGAGAGUAGAUUGAAGUCCUCCAAGUAGCAUCGCAUAGCAUAAUCCUACCCGGCAAUCCCCUCCUCGUCGCCCUGUUAGAGAGCGAUCACCGGGUUGUAUCUGGCACUUGGAAGGGUGUAUUUUAUUCAGUAUCCGGUUCUAGUUGUCAUAAGCUCAAGGUACAACUCCGGGUCGUCCUUUUACCGAGGGACACGGCUAUUCGAAUAGAUAAACUUCCCUGCAGGGGUGCACCACAUAACCCAACACGCUCGAUCCCAAUUGGCCGGACACACUUUCCUGGGUCAUGCCCGGCCUCGUAAGAUCAACACGUCGCAGCCCCACCUAGGCUCAACAGAGAGGUCAGCACGCCGGUCUAAACCUAUGCGCGCAGGGGUCUGGGCCCAUCGCCCUAAGCACACCUGCACGUUGCGAACGCGGCCACGAGCAGACCUAGCAACCCACACGAUCACGGCGGUUACGUCAAAGCGGUCCAACACGGCGCGGGCCACUCAGUCGCUGACGUCAAAAGAGCUUCGGCUGAUACCACGACGUCGGGAUACCCAUAACUACUCCCACGUAGAUGGUUAGUGCGUAUAGACCAAAUGGCCAGACUCAGAUCAAAUACCAAGAUCUCGUUAAGCGUGUUAAGUAUUCGCGAACGCCGACCAGGGCCAGGCCCACCUCUCAUCUAGGCGGUCUCAACCUGCCCUGUCGCUUCGCCACAAAGAUCCACUUGCGGGUACUCCUACGAGCCGACCCGACUUUAGUCAUCUCAGGUGUCAUGUAUAUAAUAUAUAAGUAUAUGCCCGUGUCCACCGCCCAGGUGAUCACGGCCCGAUAGUAUAGCACAGCAGACGGACAAGAAUGUAGGGCCACUGAUGGAAAACUAGCAUCCUAUACUAAGCAGUAGGGUAGCAGGUAAGGGAAACAACUGUAGCAACAAUGACAGGCUAUGCAACAGAAUAGGAUUAACCGAAAGCAGUAACAUGCUACACUACUCUAAUGCAAGCAGUAUAGAGGAGAGUAGGCGAUAUCUGGUGAUCAAGGGGGGGGCUUGCCUGGUUGCUCUGGCAAGUAGGAGGGGUCGUCGACUCCGUAGUCGAACUGGGCAGCAGCAGUGUCGGUCUCGUAGUCUACUGGAGAGAAGAGGGGGAAGAAACAGUAAAUACAAUGCAAACACAAGCAUGACGAUGCGUGACAUGACAGUGAGCGGUGCUAGGGGUGUCCUAACGCGACAGUAGGUGGUACCGGUGAAGGGGGGGAACAUCCGGGAAAGUAUUCCCGAUGUUUUGCGUUUUCGGACAGAAGGACCGGAGGGGGAAAGUUGCGAGUUCGAUAGGUUAGGGAGGUGUGGUGGACGCACGGACUGCGUAUCCGGAUUCGUCUCGUCGUUCUGAGCAACUUUCAUAUAGAAAACAUUUUAAUCCGAGUUACGGUUUAAUCUAUGAAUUUUCAAAGUUUAUUUGAAUUUCUGGAAUUAUUUAAUUAACAGAAAAAGGGAUAUGACGUCAGCAUGACGUAUGAGUGACGUCAGCGGUCAACAGUCCGGGUUGACUGGUCAAACUGACAAGGGGGACCCACCUGUCAUAGACAGUGGGUUAACAGAAGAUUAAACUAAUUAGUUUUUAGUUAAUUAACUACUGGGCCCACCUGUCAGUGAGAGAUUAAUUAAACUAAUUAUUUUUAUUUAUAAAACAUUUUCUUUUUUAAUUUUUGCGGCAGGGCCCGCAUGUCAGUGACUGGGCCUGCCCAGUCAGCAGUUGACUGGGUCAACCCAGUCAACUGGGGCCCGUGGGGGCCACUGGCAGUGACCCAGGGGGUGGCCCCAGGUGUGCCACGUCGGCGGCCGGCGCCGGCGCAACUCCGGCGACCAAAACCGCGGCGGUCCCUCGCCGGAGUUGGCCGGAAUUGCGCUACGGGGCUCGGGGAGGAACGGGGCUAGGCCCAUUCGAAAGAACUCACAGCGCCGCAUCCAGGGGUGGCCGGGGCUUCGCCGGACUCGGCCGGAAUCGGCGCCGGCGAGCGGCGGAGGCGGCGGCGCGCACGGGUGCCCGACAGAAACAGGGCUACGGCAGGCGGUCGAGCAAGCGGAGGGGCUGGGGAGCUUCUACGUGCGGUGGGGAGCGCUGUGAGCUUGAGCCCGUGACCAUUUGGUCACCGGAGACCCGCCGGCGGCGAGCUCCGCGGCGCGGCGUUCGGGCGCGCGUGGGGGAAAAGCUAGGGAGCGUGGGCGAGCUAGCGGAGUGGGGGAGGAGGUAGAGGUGCUCACCGCGUGGCGCAAGAAAGGCCCGUGGGUGCUUAGGAGCAGCAGGUCGGCGCCGGGGAAGAAGGGGGGUCGCCGGCGUCCGAGGUUGAAGGCGAGCUCGGGGAGGCCGUUGCGGUGGCUCCGAGCUUCGACGGAGAGGCGGAGGGGGUGUAGUCGAGGGCGGCGACGUCGUACGACACGGCGGGGUGGCGAGUGGGGCACGGUGGCCGCGNNNNNNNNNNNNNNNNNNNNNNNNNNNNNNNNNNNNNNNNNNNNNNNNNNNNNNNNNNNNNNNNNNNNNNNNNNNNNNNNNNNNNNNNNNNNNNNNNNNNNNNNNNNNNNNNNNNNNNNNNNNNNNNNNNNNNNNNNNNNNNNNNNNNNNNNNNNNNNNNNNNNNNNNNNNNNNNNNNNNNNNNNNNNNNNNNNNNNNNNNNNNNNNNNNNNNNNNNNNNNNNNNNNNNNNNNNNNNNNNNNNNNNNNNNNNNNNNNNNNNNNNNNNNNNNNNNNNNNNNNNNNNNNNNNNNNNNNNNNNNNNNNNNNNNNNNNNNNNNNNNNNNNNNNNNNNNNNNNNNNNNNNNNNNNNNNNNNNNNNNNNNNNNNNNNNNNNNNNNNNNNNNNNNNNNNNNNNNNNNNNNNNNNNNNNNNNNNNNNNNNNNNNNNNNNNNNNNNNNNNNNNNNNNNNNNNNNNNNNNNNNNNNNNNNNNNNNNNNNNNNNNNNNNNNNNNNNNNNNNNNNNNNNNNNNNNNNNNNNNNNNNNNNNNNNNNNNNNNNNNNNNNNNNNNNNNNNNNNNNNNNNNNNNNNNNNNNNNNNNNNNNNNNNNNNNNNNNNNNNNNNNNNNNNNNNNNNNNNNNNNNNNNNNNNNNNNNNNNNNNNNNNNNNNNNNNNNNNNNNNNNNNNNNNNNNNNNNNNNNNNNNNNNNNNNNNNNNNNNNNNNNNNNNNNNNNNNNNNNNNNNNNNNNNNNNNNNNNNNNNNNNNNNNNNNNNNNNNNNNNNNNNNNNNNNNNNNNNNNNNNNNNNNNNNNNNNNNNNNNNNNNNNNNNNNNNNNNNNNNNNNNNNNNNNNNNNNNNNNNNNNNNNNNNNNNNNNNNNNNNNNNNNNNNNNNNNNNNNNNNNNNNNNNAUAUCCGGACCGAAGAGUGGACGUUCCCCAGUUUCUGACCAGUUCAGAGGGGUUCGGCACUUUCGUCCAUAUAACACUUCGAAGGGGGCCAUCUUCAGACUAGCUUGAUAGCUAUUAUUAUAAGAGAACUCAGCAUACGGGAGAGAUUCCUCCCAUUUCUUGCCGAAGGAAAUAACGCAAGCUCGAAGCAUGUCUUCGAGAACUUGGUUGACGCGUUCAACUUGUCCUUGCGAUUGAGGAUGAAACGCAGUACUGAAUGACAGAUGAGUUCCCAUAGCUUCUUGGAAACUUGCCCAGAAUCUUGAAGUGAAUAAGCUACCACGGUCUGAACUGAUAACCAAUGGAAUACCGUGGAGUGAAACAAUCCUGGACAUAUAGAGCGUUGCCAACUGGCUAGCAGUGAUCGUUUCUUUGACCGCCAGAAAAUGUGCAACUUUGGAAAGCCGGUCAAUGACGACAAGAAUAGCAUCAUUACCUUUCUGCGAUUUGGGAAAUCCAGUGACGAAGUCCAUCUCAACAUGGUCCCAUUUCCAUUCAGGAAUAGAGAUAGGUUGCAGAGUUCCAGCAGGCCUUUGAUGUUCUGCUUUGAUACGACGGCAAACGUCACACUCAGCAACAUAACGAGCAAUGUCUUGCUUCAUAUUAGACCACCAGAAUCUCUGAUGGAUAUCUUGGUACAUCUUUGUACUACCCGGAUGGAUACUUAGAGGCGUAUCAUGAGCUUCUUUCAUAACUUCCUGUGUCAUAUCCAGGUUUUUCUCUGCACAUGGCACCACUAGGCGGCCCUUGAAGUAUAGGGUGCCAUCUUCAGAAAUGGUGAAGAAUGAGGGCUUUCCUUCUGCGAGGUAGUGCUUAAUCUUGUAGGCUUCAGAGUCAUACUUCUGUAGCCUUUUGAUGCUGUCCUCGAGAUCUGGUUUAGCAACUAGGGUAUUGAGGGAACCCUGGGUAACAACGUGGAGGUUCACCUUGCCAAAUUCCUUAGGAGGGGGAGCGAGUGCACCCGGAGGAACAAUAUGGAGGUUCAGCUUCCUGAAUUCUUCAACAAGUGAGGGCUGAACUUUAUGAACCUGGAGGUGGUUGCAGUAAGACUUGCGGCUCAAGGCAUCAGCCAUUACAUUAGCCUUGCCUGGCGUAUAGGAAAUACCCAAAUCAAAGUCUGCGACAAGCUCCAUCCAUCUCUGCUGACGGAGGUUCAGGUCUGGCUGAGUAAACAGAUACUUCAGACUUUGGUGGUCGGUGAAGAUCUCGCAACGAUUACCGAGAAGGUAAUGUCGUCACUGCUUCAGCGCAUGAAUGACGGCAGCAAGUUCGAGGUCGUGAACUGGGUAGUUCUCUUCGUGAGGGCGCAAUUGUCGAGAGGCAUAAGCAAUCACUCUGCGGUCUUGCAUUAGGACACAGCCUAAUCCUUGACGGGAAGCGUCGCAGUAGAUGACGAAGUCCUUCUUAGUAUCAGGUGGAGCUAGAACUGGGGCAGAAGUCAACUUGUCUUUGAGUGCCUGGAAACUUUCCUGACAUUUGUCUGUCCAUUGUAACUUGACGCCCUUAUGUAACAGGUUAGUCAGAGGCCUGGCGAUCUUGGAGAAGUUCUCGACAAAUCGACGGCAAUAGCUGGCGAGACCGAGAAAACUUCUGACUUGCUUAACGUUCUUGGGAGGAGUCCAAUCAAGAAUAGCCUGAACUCGCUCGGGGUUGACGGCAAUACCAUCCUUAGAGAUGACAUGCCCCAGAUAGGUUACUUCCGGUAGCCAGAAUUCACAUUUAGAGAACUUGGCAUAUAGUUGAUGUUCUCGUAGUUUUUCCAGCACAAGUCGAAGAUGUUCAGCAUGUUCUUCUUCGUUCUUGGAAAAUAUCAGGAUAUCAUCCAGAUAAACCACGACGAACUUGUCGAGGUAAUCCAUGAAUAUGUAGUUCAUCAGACGAGAGAAGGUGGCUGGAGCAUUGGUUAAACCGAAAGACAUGACGGUGUACUCGUAUGAACCAUAGCGAGUCACGAAGGCGGUCUUUGGGAUAUCCUCUUCGCGAACACGGAUCUGGUGGUAGCCCAACCUCAAGUCGAGCUUAGAGAACACUGACGAACCCGCCAGUUGAUCAUACAGAUCAUUGAUCCGAGGAAGAGGGUAUUUAUUCUGAAUGGUAGCUUGGUUUAUAGGACGGUAGUCUUGAACUAACCGGUUUGUCCCGUCCUUCUUCUUGACAAAGAGAGAAGGUGCUCCCCAAGGAGAGCAACUUGAACGAAUGAAUCCUUUGCGAAGAGACUUGUCGAUUUCCUCCUUAAGCUCAAGGAGUUCAUGCGGCGGCAUCUUGUAGGGUCGCUUGGCUAUAGGAGUGGUGCCUGGUUUCAAGUCGAUGAUGAAUUCGACAGCUCUAGCAGGGGGAAUCCCUGGAAGUUCUUCAGGGAAGACGUCGAGGAAUUCACGCACGACGGGAAUGUUUUCAAUGCCCUCGAGUGGUGCAGCGUUCAAUGCAUUCAAUGCAUAGAGCCUUGCCUCGGCAUUUUGCACCAGAUGGGCUUGGUAAGUAACUAUCUCAUCUGAAGGGUGUAGCAGAUGGACGGUCUUAGUGGUGCAAACGAUUGAAGCAGUAUGCGCUUUUAACCAAUUCAUUCCCAGAAUGAGAUCAAUGCUACAGGACUUCAGUACGAUGGGAGAGACAAGAAAUUCCAGUCCUUCAAUUUCAACAGUAACAUCGCGACUAACCAUAGAGGUUUGACAUUGGCCCGCUGGGGUGUGUACCACUAGCGGAGUGUUUAUCUCUUCGUGAUUAAUGCCAUGCAGGAAUGCAAAUUCUGCUGAAAUGAAUGAAUGGGAUGCUCCUGUAUCAAAUAAAACGGAUGCUGGUACUGAAUUUGCGAGGAGUGUACCCAUCACAGUAGCAGGCUGGUCUUGAGCUUCGCUGAGAUCAACGUGGUUGGCAUGAGCACGACCAUAAGACUUAGCAUUGUUGUUGCGGGGCUGGUUGUUACCACGGCCAGCUGCUGGAAGGGCCAGUUGAUUCUGAUUCUGAUAGCAGUUCCUGGCAAAGUGACCCGGUUGACCACACUUGAAGCACAGACCAUUAUCGGGAGUGGGAACAGGAGCCCCAGGUGGGGGAGCUGGUAGCUUUGACUGCUUAGAUGGUGGAGGAGGCAGACGCGGUGCAGCAUAAGAUUUCCUGGGAGCAGGUGCAUUUGGACGAUACAUGCUGUUCGGGAUCCAUAUCUUACGCUUCUGUGAGGGCGAGCCCGAAGAUGAGCCCGUGUCACGGUUGCGCCUCUGAGAGCUCUGGUAUUCCUGCAGACCAGUUUCAACAUUGAUGGCCUUGUUCACCAAGGUGGUGAAAUCAGCAAAGUCAUGCACUAGAAGUGCGAGCUUGAUGUCAGCUUGAAGGCCAUCACGGAACUUCUCCUGUCUGCGUGCAUCAGUUGCAAUGUCUUCUUCAGCAUAGCGGGACAAGUCCAGAAACUCCCGCUGAUAAGCUUCGACAGUUUUGUUGCCUUGGGUGAGGUUGCGGAACUCACGCUUCUUCCGAUCCAUGACUCGCUGAGGAAUGAAGCGGGCACGGAAAGCAGCUUGGAAGUCUGGCCAGGUGAUGAUUGUUCCAGCUGGCAGAGUACGCCUGUGGCUGUCCCACCAUUGAGCUGCGGGUCCCUUCAAGAAGAAGGAAGCAAAAUUGACAUAGCUGGCAGGGGCUACAUCAGCAGACUCCAUCUCAUAGGUGAUGUCACGGAGCCAGUCAUCAGCAUCCAGAGGCUGAGUUGAGCUGCGGUAGAUGGUUGGGUUGAGGCGUAUGAAAUCUUGAAGAGUCACUUGGGCUGGCUGCUGGUUCAUAUUGGGGCGAGGGAACUGAGCCAUCAUAUUUUCCAUGAAUUGGCGGUUCAGUUCGAACUGUUGGAUCAUACCAGCCAUGUACUCAGGUGGUGGUGGGGCAUCGCCACCACGACCACGACCACCUGGUCUAACCAUCCUGCUAAUAUAUAACAGGGGUAGUUCAGCAUUUGAGAAAAUUUGCAAUGACAAGAAUCAUUCAUGAUGAAACAUGCAUAAUUGGAAGGAGCACGAUAGCUACUACAUAGUAGUCGGCAUAACUUACAAAAGGGUUCAUGCAUAUAGUUCAGUACAUAGAGUUCAGUACAUAAACUAAAACAUCAUAGGCGGCACAUAGGCUCGCGGCGACUGCAGCUAAUACUACAAGCAAACCUACAUCAGUCCCAAGAGGUACUGUGGAGGUAAUCAUAGCCCGACAGCUGGUAGUGAGGCAACGGAUAGUCCUCCACGUCAGCAGACUGGGGGCCGCGGAUACUCAGGUGUAGAGCCCGGUGCUCAGGUGGCAGAAAAGGUCCAAGUGCGGGAGAGUAGCCUCCCACCUCUGGCCAACCAACACCGUGGGGCAUCACGGUCCUGGCUGGGUAGAUCGCAGAACGCGGUACCUGUCCAGACCGGACAAAGGGGUGCAGCAGCGUCAGAGCACGGUAAAGGUGCUGACGGGUGGUGUACAUCUCGUGGCGAAGAGCUCGGUUAGCUCGAUCCAGCCCAUCAGCAUGCAGAACCAGGUGCUGAUGGUAGAAGGGCUCUCGGGUGACAGUGGAGUAGGCAGCAGUAUAGUAUCCCUCUGCACCAACAUCAGAGGCGAUAGCAAUGUGCCUGAAAGGGGAGGUGUCCAACUCCCGAUACUCUCCACGAAAACGUGUCAGAGCAGCAUAGGCUGCAUCGUGGACAGCCAUAUCGAUGGUCACACCAACACCAUGUGCGGUAUGCAGCACAGUAGUGGAGUCGUACUCCCGAGAGUAGAGGUGGACGAUGGCACGGUACUGCUCCUGGUUAAAGUCCUGGUACUCCUCGUAGACGGUGUACUCAGGGUGCCAGCGAUAACCCAGAUAGGUCAUCAUCUCAGCUAGCACCGCAGGUGAUCCCGAGGCACCAAUGGCCAUCGUGUGGCGAACAACCUGCCUCGUGGGUUCCAUCUGAAAGCAAAGACGUUUCAAAGGAGUCAAAUGACAGUGUGUGAAUUGAUCAAAAUACUAUUCUGAGAAACAUCUAUGGUUUAUCCAUCUUUGGGGUGAACGCGGUCACGGGAUCCUAGUGUUAGAGUUAGUAAAUUCGUUUAACCCGAGUAGAAGAGAGUUCAGAGUCCCAGAGUACAGGUCGAGGAGUAAAAGAUCCUAGUACCACCCAAUGGCGACGUGGGCCCGUAAGCCGCACAGCCAUGUUAGUAAAAGUUUGCAAUGUCUAGACUCGACUUCGGCCAAGGAGUGUGGAAGGGGGUUUCCUACAGGCAGUCGGCUCUGAUACCAACUUGUGACGCCCCCGAUUUGACCGUACACUAAUCAUGCACGCAAAUGUGUACGAUCACGAUCAGGGACUCACGGGAAGAUAUCACAACACAACUCUACAACAUAAAUAAGUCAUACAAGCAUUAUAAUACAAGCCAGGGGCCUCGAGGGCUCGAAUACAAGUGCUCGAUCAUAGACGAGUCAGCGGAAGCAACAAUAUCUGAGCACAGACAUAAGUUAAACAAGUUCGCCUUAAGAAGGCUAGCUCAAUAGUAGCAACGAUCGAAAAGGCAAGGCCUCCUGCCUGGGACCUCCUAACUACUCCUGGUCGUCGUCAGCGGCCUACACGUAGUAGUAGGCACCUCCAGUGUCGUAGGUGUCGUCGUCGACGGUGGCGUCUGGCUCCUGGACUCCAAUAUCUGGUUGCGACAAUCAGAUAGAUAGGAAGGGGGAAAAGAGGGAGAGAAGCAACCGUGAGUACUCAUCCAAAGUACUCGCAAGCAAGGAGCUACACUACAUAUGCAUGGGUAUAUGUGUAAAGGGGCAUAUCAGUGGUCUGAACUGCAGAAUGCCAGAAUAAAAGGGGGAUAGCUAGUCCUGUCGAAGACUACGCUUCUGGACAUCUCCAUCUUGCAGCAUGUAGAAGAGAGUAGAUUGAAGUCCUCCAAGUAGCAUCGCAUAGCAUAAUCCUACCCGGCAAUCCCCUCCUCGUCGCCCUGUUAGAGAGCGAUCACCGGGUUGUAUCUGGCACUUGGAAGGGUGUAUUUUAUUCAGUAUCCGGUUCUAGUUGUCAUAAGCUCAAGGUACAACUCCGGGUCGUCCUUUUACCGAGGGACACGACUAUUCGAAUAGAUAAACUUCCCUGCAGGGGUGCACCACAUAACCCAACACGCUCGAUCCCAAUUGGCCGGACACACUUUCCUGGGUCAUGCCCGGCCUCGUAAGAUCAACACGUCGCAGCCCCACCUAGGCUCAACAGAGAGGUCAGCACGCCGGUCUAAACCUAUGCGCGCAGGGGUCUGGGCCCAUCGCCCUAAGCACACCUGCACGUUGCGAACGCGGCCACGAGCAGACCUAGCAACCCACACGAUCACGGCGGUUACGUCAAAGCGGUCCAACAUGGCGCGCGCCACUCAGUCGCUGACGUCAAAAGAGCUUCGGCUGAUACCACGACGUCGGGAUACCCAUAACUACUCCCACGUAGAUGGUUAGUGCGUAUAGACCAAAUGGCCAGACUCAGAUCAAAUACCAAGAUCUCGUUAAGCGUGUUAAGUAUUCGCGAACGCCGACCAGGGCCAGGCCCACCUCUCACCUAGGCGGUCUCAACCUGCCCUGUCGCUUCGCCACAAAGAUCCACUUGCGGGUACUCCUACGAGCCGACCCGACUUUAGUCAUCUCAGGUGUCAUGUAUAUAAUAUAUAAGUAUAUGCCCGUGUCCACCGCCCAGGUGAUCACGGCCCGAUAGUAUAGCACAGCAGACGGACAAGAAUGUAGGGCCACUGAUGGAAAACUAGCAUCCUAUACUAAGCAGUAGGGUAGCAGGUAAGGGAAACAACUGUAGCAACAAUGACAGGCUAUGCAACAGAAUAGGAUUAACCGAAAGCAGUAACAUGCUACACUACUCUAAUGCAAGCAGUAUAGAGGAGAGUAGGCGAUAUCUGGUGAUCAAGGGGGGGGCUUGCCUGGUUGCUCUGGCAAGUAGGAGGGGUCGUCGACUCCGUAGUCGAACUGGGCAGCAGCAGUGUCGGUCUCGUAGUCUACCGGAGAGAAGAGGGGGAAGAAACAGUAAAUACAAUGCAAACACAAGCAUGACGAUGCGUGACAUGACAGUGAGCGGUGCUAGGGGUGUCCUAACGCGACAGUAGGUGAUACCGGUGAAGGGGGGGAACAUCCGGGAAAGUAUUCCCGAUGUUUUGCGUUUUCGGACAGAAGGACCGAAGGGGGAAAGUUGCGAGUUCGAUAGGUUAGGGAGGUGUGGUGGACGCACGGACUGCGUAUCCGGAUUCGUCUCGUCGUUCUGAGCAACUUUCAUAUAGAAAACAUUUUAAUCCGAGUUACGGUUUAAUCUAUGAAUUUUCAAAGUUUAUUUGAAUUUCUGGAAUUAUUUAAUUAACAGAAAAAGGGAUAUGACGUCAGCAUGACGUAUGAGUGACGUCAGCGGUCAACAGUCCGGGUUGACUGGUCAAACUGACAAGGGGGACCCACCUGUCAUAGACAGUGGGUUAACAGAGGAUUAAACUAAUUAGUUUUUAGUUAAUUAACUACUGGGCCCACCUGUCAGUGAGAGAUUAAUUAAACUAAUUAUUUUUAUUUAUAAAACAUUUUCUUUUUUAAUUUUUGCGGUAGGGCCCGCAUGUCAGUGACUGGGCCUGCCCAGUCAGCAGUUGACUGGGUCAACCCAGUCAACUGGGGCCCGUGGGGGCCACUGGCAGUGACCCAGGGGGUGGCCCCAGGUGUGCCACGUCGGCGGCCGGCGCCGGCGCAACUCCGGCGACCAAAACCGCGGCGGUCCCUCGCCGGAGUUGGCCGGAAUUGCGCUACGGGGCUCGGGGAGAAUCGGCGCCGGCGAGCGGCGGAGGCGGCGGCGCGCACGGGUGCCCGACGGAAACAGGGCUACGGCAGGCGGUCGAGCAAGCGGAGGGGCUGGGGAGCUUCUACGUGCGAUGGGGAGCGCUGUGAGCUUGAGCCCGUGACCAUUUGGUCACCGGAGACCCGCCGGCGGCGAGCUCCGCGGCGCGGCGUUCGGGCGCGCGUGGGGGAAAAGCUAGGGAGCGUGGGCGAGCUAGCGGAGUGGGGGAGGAGGUAGAGGAGCUCACCGCGUGGCGCAAGAAAGGCCCGUGGGUGCUUAGGAGCAGCAGGUCGGCGCCGGGGAAGAAGGGGGGUCGCCGGCGUCCGAGGUUGAAGGCGAGCUCGGGGAGGCCGUUGCGGUGGCUCCGAGCUUCGACGGAGAGGCGGAGGGGGUGUAGUCGAGGGCGGCGACGUCGUACGACACGGCAGGGUGGCGAGUGGGGCACGGUGGCCGCGAGAACGACGGGAACGGCGGCGAGCGCGUCGGGCGUGGGGAAGAGGGGGGGCGGCGCGGAUCCAGGGAAGAGGCGCAGAGGCCGAGGGAGUGAGCGGGGUGAGUGGGAGAGAGGCCCGAGGGAGCGAGGGCCGCUGGCGCCCUUAUCCUCUCGCGGGGUUCACCGCCGGCGAGGUGAUGCGGCGGCAGCGCGCCCCUGUUCCGACCGGGUCGGGGGAACAGGGAAGGGGCGAGGGAGGAGGUGGNNNNNNNNNNNNNNNNNNNNNNNNNNNNNNNNNNNNNNNNNNNNNNNNNNNNNNNNNNNNNNNNNNNNNNNNNNNNNNNNNNNNNNNNNNNNNNNNNNNNNNNNNNNNNNNNNNNNNNNNNNNNNNNNNNNNNNNNNNNNNNNNNNNNNNNNNNNNNNNNNNNNNNNNNNNNNNNNNNNNNNNNNNNNNNNNNNNNNNNNNNNNNNNNNNNNNNNNNNNNNNNNNNNNNNNNNNNNNNNNNNNNNNNNNNNNNNNNNNNNNNNNNNCUUUUCUCUGACUGUUUCUGUUUUCUGUUUUCUUUUUAUUUGUUUAUUUCCUUUUCUGUUUUAUUUCAUUUAAAGUAUUUAGGCAUUUUAUAAAAAGGAGUUUUCUCCACCAUAAUUGCCAGUGUAUUAUUUAGCACCCACAGAACAUUUUUGUUUGAGUUUUUGAAAACUUUUAUUUUUCACUUUAAUUAUAUUUGAAGUUUGAACUAGGAGUUUGACAGGGGUGUGGUUCAAAUGUGAUCAAGCCCUGUUUAGCAACAUGAUUAGCUUAAUCACAGGGGGUUACUGUAGCAUGAUUCUCAGGGUGUUACAAAUUUGAAAGCUGCAAAGUAGGACAUAACAGUGCCAGAAAGGUCAAAAUGCUUUCUACCACCAAUUUAUUAUCCAAAAAGAAAAACCAAAGUAGACAUGAAAUAAAUUAGACUCUGUGCAAACCUGCUAUUUGAAUUCACAACAAACAUGUAAAUAGAUACAUUAUGAUGUUUAACAACAAACAAGUAUGGAACAAGGAACUCCAACGCUGUAGCGUAACAAAUAACAGUGACAAAAGGGUCAAAAUGCCUACUGCUACCAAUUUUUAAUCAAAAACUAAAACAAAUCAGAUGAGAUAAAAAAUUAGACUCUACAUACACUUUUGAAUCAUAGCCAAGGUUAGAAAACAGGAAGUCCAUAUGAGAUUAUUCAGAUUUAUCUGUUAAAUUGCUUUGGUAUAUUUUUACAAGAAAUACUCACAAUUAUAUGCUGGAAAAAAAUCAAAUAAAAGCUACCGAGCCAAGUUAUUAUUAAUUAAAGUACAAUUCAAGGAAGGUGGUGAAGAAAUUCAUUAUAUAUUAACCUAGAGUCACACAAAGAUAAAACUAACGGAAGUAGCAAAACAGACAAUGAAACAGUUGGAAGAAAAAACAACAUGCAAAAUUAAAAAAAUGAGGUAAACAUACUAUAUUAAGUCACAAUAUAAAUAUAUUUAUAUGGAAGUCAAACUAUCUUAAGGAUUAAUUAUAGAACUUGCUCUUGAAUUUAGUUAAAUGAACGCAAACUACAUGCUUAAGAACAUAAUAGUAUAGAUUGAAACAAUACAAACAUAACUAUAUUAUAGUAUCAUUCAAAAUGCAGCCGGAAAUGAGAACACACUAUCUGAAAACAACCUCGUUACGAAUUAAUUUCAGCAUUCAUACUUUUCAGUAUACAGAUGAUAGGUAGAACUAGAAAAAGAUCACUAAAAAGCACAGAACAACAUAACAAACUAGACUAAACAAACUCGCACAUCAAGGUAAAUAUGUCUAUGUGAACUUUACAUCAAUGAAGCAUGCAAACAUAAGAUAAAGAGUAGUACAAACUAGCUUUCUCAACGUGCGGGCAAUGAAUAAGGUAUUUGAGUUCAUUAAGGACAUAUAGACACAUCACAUCGAGACUACUACUAUAUCUUAAAGUGGUGCAACAUGGAUUGGGAACAAAGCUAAAACUCAGGCCAAAACAGAACAACAAGUAGAGGCAUACCAAGACUGACCAAACAUUUAUUGUUAACAAAGCUUGUAAUAAAAUUUUCAAGCAGAAAAAGGAAGGCAAGAAAAUUCAGAGGGAAAUUUUUAGACAUACAUGUAGCACAAGGAUGGCGUGAAGUUACAAAUAGGAGAACAUAGGAGAACGAGCUUAUAGUAAACAAAGAACACAUCUGAAGCUACCGACUUAUAAAUGACCACCAAGGUUGAGAAUUAAAACUAAGCUUAUGUAGAAGUUCACACCCCUACAAUGUAUUUCAAGGUGACCUGUACUAACACCGACUUGGCUCAUAACAUCACUUUAACCUUGACAUAAACCAUAAAGAAAUUCAUGUGAACAGUGGCCAGAAGCAGCAGUCUUGCAUAAAUAAUUUCAUCAGAUAGAAUCAUGGUUCUAUGCCAAGCAAAAUGAAAUUAUUGUAGGAAUUGGAACACUGUGCAUACAUUAUUGACAUUAUUCGAGAAGAUGGGUCAAAACUAGACAGGCACACAAACAGAAAUUUAAGAGUGGUUAUAGGAUAUGAGUCAAUUAGUUAACAAAUGAAUUGAUGAGAAAUAGUAGACAAACAGAAGCCCGUAUCCAAGCACACAUAAACAACAUCAGGUCAUAAACUUAUGUAAAAACUACAUGCCUUUUUCACCUUUCUAAUUGUGACCUUCUCUAUCGAAGAGGGAAAAAUGACAGCACAAUGGAUCAGGGACGAAUAAAUUUUUAAGUAAGCUCAAAACAGAUUAAAAUGUUCUAAUUUUGAAACCAAGGCACCUAAAAAUUAUAGUACAUGCCAUGUUUAUCAUCUCAACCAAAUAAGUGGGGAAAGUAGAACCAAAGCAAAAGCAAUAUGUGUCAUGCUUAUAAUCUCAACCAAUUAAGGGGAAAAGUUAACAGUAUGUGCCAUNNNNNNNNNNNNNNNNNNNNNNNNNNNNNNNNNNNNNNNNNNNNNNNNNNNNNNNNNNNNNNNNNNNNNNNNNNNNNNNNNNNNNNNNNNNNNNNNNNNNNNNNNNNNNNNNNNNNNNNNNNNNNNNNNNNNNNNNNNNNNNNNNNNNNNNNNNNNNNNNNNNNNNNNNNNNNNNNNNNNNNNNNNNNNNNNNNNNNNNNNNNNNNNNNNNNNNAGCUAAAUCGUAACUUAAAACUGUUGAUAGUUAUCACACAAUAUUUGCCUCUGAAUACUAUGUAAAAUCGUUACGAAUCAAGUAAGUUAAUACAUAUAUAGCCUAUGCCCAUGAACAAUAUGUAUCAUAAUUCAAACUAACCAGGUAGGAAAAAUCCACGAGUAAAAGCAGACUGUAAAUAAUGCAAACAUAGAAGACCAACACCUUCAAAUAUACUUAAAGCUUAACACCGAACUACAAAAAAAAGCGAUAGAAUGUGCCACUCGUGAAUGAUGCGGAAUCAAGAUUAAAUACAAGCAACUGACGUGAUUAUUAAAAGGAAUCUUGUGCAUGAUUGAAGAGAGCACCCAAAAAGAAUACAAGCAGUGAACAAGUUCAAAAUGUUAGGUCAAAAGUGAUCAUUAUUAUCUUAGAUUAGGAGAACUACAGAAGUGGGAUGCUCUGAACAAUCUCCGAUGAACUUGGCACACAUGAACACAAAUAUAUUAACUUAACGUAAGCCAAAAAAAACAUCAAGCUAUGAAAUUCAGUUGCUAUUUUGUCGCAGCUUUUAUGCAGCCAACCAAACAACGAAGGGUAAGUCAUCCAUAUAUCAUUCAACAAUUACACCAAUAACAUCAUACAAGAUGCAUAAUUGACAAUUGUGUACAAGAUAAAACAUAACUUGCAUGAACAGAACAUGACUACAUAUUACAAUUAGAAUACUAAUUACCAAGCUAAGACUAAUCCAACACCGGACGGAGCAUGUAAACUGGCAGAAACCCAACCGAAUAUCCAUGUAGAAAAUCAAAGGCACAAACUAGAUAUCAGAGGGAUUGGUAGAUUCCAACACAGUAAUCAGCAUCUGGAUAGACCUUGACGUGCCACCCGAGAAAAACACAGCAGGCAGUAAACUAGUCAGCAGCUUUCUUCACAGUACUUGGAACCUCAAACAGAUUACUUCAAAAGCAAACUUCCAUGUUCUUCUAAGGUAGUUCCCAAGAAAGUUACAUCUACAACGCAAACAAAACAAGCACCUCCAAUUUUCUUAGGAAUCUUGAAAUGAAACCAACCAUGAGCAUGUCCACACAGUUGAAGAAACACAUAUCCCAGCUCUACCUUUAUAACACGGUACACAGCAUAGCAAAAUCACUUUUCAUAUGGUCUGACAUGUAUAUCCAGAUAGGCCUAGCAAACCUUUUUCCAACUUCCUCUAUCUCUUAUUGACUCUGACUAAGUCAUGCAGGAACGGGAUCAAAAGCAAAAAAAACUGCAGAAUUUUGCCUGUCAACUGUCCCCAAACCGCUGUUUUUCACCGCAAAAAGAUAAAGCACUUUGUACGCAGAACAUUAAUGAAUCACCUUGAAUGGAACAGGCCAAUCCAAACCACAAACUUCAAUCUCUCAUUCAGAUCAUGUCAAACAUCUCCAAAGAAAACUAAGCUGACCACACCGAUCCACCGUAACGAACAGAGAUGAAAGCAAACAAACUGCUCCACGUUUAAAUAAAAUCCCCAUUAAACGAACACAACUAGUUGCUCUCGCCAAAAAUAACCUCCAUUAAUUGACAACCUUGAAUCAAAUCAGCAAUUAGGAUAAAAAUGGAUAAGCCACGACCCUAAAACAUAUCGCAAUCAGAGCAUGAUGGAUUAGCCAGGACCCAAUCAGAUCAGAAGUCAAAGCAAAAUAGAUUAGCCGCGACCUAAACCAAAGCAGCGAGGUUCAGAAGACGAUACCAACAUCAACGGAACAGAGGAGGACAAACCACCGGAACUAGGCCUCGAUCGACAUCAACGUAAUAAGGAGCAGCACAACCCAAACAGAACGCUCGCCUGGAAUUACAACCAAACGAAGAACAGCGAAACAAGGAGCGCGAGAUCUGAACCGAUUACCCGGUGGCCAUACCUGCGACUUACCCGACGAGAGGGGGGAGAGCAGAGAAGAGAAGUCAAAUCCUCCGAUACGAGGAAACCAUGGGAGGCUCGGGUGGUAUUUAUAGAGGCCGUGAAGCCGGUGGCGGCGAUGGGUUUCCAGGAAGGAGUCGGUGCGGGUGGACGCGGUUCCACUUUUUCCAGUCGUGGCCGGAGACGAACCGACGUCGGACGGAGGGCCACGCGGUUUUCGUGGGAGAAAGGGAAUGACGGGGGCACGAGGCGGUUGCGGCUUUCGUUAAUCCUAUCCCAUCUCUUCCGCGGCACGACUCUGCGUGCGUUCUUAUCCGUUAAUGACGGGCACCGUCAUACAUGUGGCGGGAUGGGUCCGCGCGAUCGUAAACGAACACGUUUUUUUUUACACCGGGACACCUUUACAUUUCAAAUUAUGGUGCACCGAUCAAAUCAACGAUCACGCAAGCUAACCUAUAUUUAGGUUUAAAUGGUUA
RNAcentral lists this long non-coding RNA (88227 nucleotides) under Triticum aestivum (bread wheat). Its description in RNAcentral is "long non-coding RNA (TAES_LNC017892)". The stretch from base 5105 to 5191 matches the Rfam family "MIR1120/MIR1122 microRNA precursor family". Lineage: Eukaryota; Viridiplantae; Streptophyta; Magnoliopsida; Poales; Poaceae. The record is from RNAcentral.